GAGAGGGGAGGUUGCCAGUGCGCCUAGGCGUACUGGGCCUGGCCCCUUUCCCACAGCGGGUCAUACGGUUUUAUGGUGGUCUCCCGGGCCAUUUGUGGCUGUAGAUUUCGCGGCGGAGGGCUGUGAUGGCGGUUGUGGUGUGGACGGCGUGCUGAACUAGUUUACGGCAUGUGUUGUGUGCGGACUGUGUGGGGCAUCCGAGUGUUUUGAGGAGGGCAUGAAGGUGGGGUGUGACCGUGCCAGUAUGGCCAAGGCUAAUUAUAGUGUCUGGGCUGUACAUCACGUCCCAGCCUGCGUCGCGGAGAGCGGCCACGAGGUCUUCGUGUUGUUGCAGUUUCUCUGCGCGUUUGUCCGGGUGGUUUAGGUCCGAGCAGUAUCCGACUUCUAUGACGUAGACCUUAUGGGCGCUCCUUUGUCGGCGUGUGCGGGGUGCACGGGCUGGCAGUCCGGACAUGUGCAUCCGGAGUGUGGGAAUGACCAGCAGGUCUGGACGGAGCUUCUUACGCACGCUCUCUGGCGUGCUGGGGAGCAUCCACGCAGGGAUGCGGGUUCCCCCGCUAUAAGUGGGGGCAUCCUUACCGGCGUCCAUGUACAUAACGCAGCCUCCAUAGUGGCCCUGACUUAUUGCUUUCGCUAUCCGCUGGACAGCGCGGUUGUGACGCGCAAUGUAGGCUGCUUUCAUGCGUGGGUGGGUGCAGCCGCCCAGGGUGUGCGUGCCACCGUCGUCGCCGCGGCACAGGGGGCAUUCGCCGCCUGCGCAGCCGGGCAUGGGGUGUUUUACUCUUGCGGCCCGCUUGGCAUUCCAGGAGAGGCCCCAGCGGUAUUUGAACGCGCAGCGGGCCUCUUCAAAUGAGAACUUGUCGAACAGGUUUAGGCCGUAGCGUUCGUCGAUGUGCUUCCUCGCUGCCUCCCAUAGUUCCGCGUACAGUCCUGAUUUGGUAUAACCGGUCGCGGUGGAUUUACGGGCCAUUUUCUUCAGGUCGCGAUUGAGGUCGUUGGCGUAGCGCAACCGUUCUUCCAAAUUGCCAUUGUGCUCCACAAUUUCCUUCUGGGCAAUCCAUCCCUCUAAGGGUUCAUAUGGGUGCGAGUAUAGAGUUUCUGUCGCAUCCGGCUGCACUGUUCUGGUGGCCACAGCCUGUGCCGCUUCAUCCGCUUUCUGAUUUCCUACGCAUGUGUCUGUCUGGUGCGAACGUACGUGAUAAAAUGAUGUCUUGUGUCCAGCUAGGGCACGUUCCGCAAGUUGGUCGACUAUGGUCCCAAACAUCUCGCGGUGCUUGCUUACGUGGAGUGACUCGGGCUCCAUAAUGGCGCGACGGAGGAUGAACAGACUGACAAGACUGUCGGUGUAGACCCGUAGGUGAGGUGUGUCGCGAUGGAGGCGGAGCGCCGUGCGUAUGGCGGAUGAUUCACACCGAAGGAUGGUGCUCAGGGGUGUGUUGAAGGCGAUGUCUUCAUCAAUGUGCGUGGUGCGGUUGUCGCUGGCGUCCCAGACCGCCGCUCCCAGGCCCGUGUACUCUCGUGUGUGUGGUACUUUGCUCCCGUCGGUAAAGACCGCGGAGCCUCGUGUGUGUGCGAGCGGGACAUAAGCGCGGUAGAGGGUUGCAAGCUCCGUAGGGGAUGGUAGGGUGGGGGCAUCGCGAGGGGGCUGGGGCUGGGGCGUCUGGCUGCUCUGGGCGAGGAUGCGCCGUUUUAACUUCCGGGGGGUUGGGGGCCACGGGUUGGGUGUGUCUGGGUCCGUGGGGGGUUUACGGGUAGCUAGGUGCGGGGUGUGCCCGAGCGCGUCCGCUAGGGCGAGUGCAAGCCCACUCUCCAGGGCCUGAUUGAGGAGGAGGCGGCCCCUUUCGUUUGUCACGCACAGGAGGUGGAGUCCACGUCGGUGAGCGGGGAGCUCCUGCGGCUGGCCUAGGCCUGAGGCCAGGCCUGCCCAGGCGUGCGCCGGUUUGAUGUGCCCCAGGUCGUGGACCAGUGGGUGUUGGAGCCAGGCUGUGUAGCCGCUUGUGUCGCCAUACGGGACCACCACGACGGACAGGUGCGGUGUGUGCGGUGUUGCCGCCUCGGCGCUGGCGACCGCCCACGCCAUGGCCAGGCUGGUGUGCUCGGGUUGUGGGGGUGGGUGAACGAAGGAGAUUCCAUCUAGCGUGCGGCUGUAGCAGUCGUGGGCGGCCCCGAACUCUGAAUCUUGCGGGUGGGUAGUGUAGUAUGCUGGGAUGUCGCAGUGGGCGUUGAGGGGAGAUGCGAAUGCCUCCGUCUGGAACUUGAUAUGGGACGUGAGCGUGGACAUCAGGUCGGGGCAGAGGGUUACCUCGUGCGCUGGGUUGGUGGAACUCUCCUUGUGGCGUUUGCUGGGGCGGUACCGUAUAAUCAGGGAGGCCAGAGCGGCAGCAAACCUUUCCGGGGGGUGAGUGGGGUUAAGGGUCCUGUACCGGGCGUGGAGUAGGGCAAGUCGGGCAGCGCUAACGGUUCCUAUGCAGCGUCCAUCCGGGCCGUAGACCCUGGCGGGGGGGUCGGAGUCUUGGGGGAGGCCGGACGGCGUGCCUGUGGCGCUGCCCGGCUCACGUGUGCCCAUUUGAAUACAGUAUUGACCUGUCGGGUGGAUGUCUGUGUCCGGGUUACAGGAUUUGACGUCGAUGGUGCUGCACCGGAGGAUCGCACGUUUGCGUGCGGCUUCGCUGGGUGCUGGGUCUCGCCAUCUGCCCUGGCGCUGCUUACUGGUGAGGUGAUUGUCAAGGGCGGGAGGCGGGGUAGGGUCAGGGGGCGCGUCUACGGCUUGGGCAAGAGUGUAGCGUGCCAGGGCAGCCGCCCACCCGGGGUUUUGGGAGAGUGAGGAGAGGGGGUCUUCCGUUUCAGCCCAGUGCACUUGGACCAUGAAGCGCCGGAUGCCUUGCCCCCAUAGCCGGCACGGGGGUUUGGUUGUGCUAGUGGUGUUGUAGUUCUGUAGCUCGUAGGCUCGGAGGAUGCCGUUUGUGGUCAGGGUGGGUUGCCACCGAACCCUAUAGCGACAGCGUUCUGCCCAGGGGGGCUCCUCGGGCGGUGGGCCCUGCUUUCGUUUUCGCUUGGGCGGCGGGGCGUUAGUUUUGUGGGUCAUGGGUCCGCUGACGACGGCUGCGAUAAUGUCGUCGCGGUUAGUUAGAUGGGCGGUGAUGUGCUGUGCUGCCUGUACCCCAGCGAUGGACUGGGGUAGGCGGCCAUUCAGCGCAUUGUCUCUGACUUUGCGCCACGCAGGGCGGGAGCUUGGCUGCGCGGCUGCGCUGUCUCUCCUGGGUGCGGCUGCCCGUGUGGGGGCCCGCGGCUGAAUAGCAUGGUGAGUGUACGGGCAGCGAGUGGGUUGGGAGCCGCGUUUACGCCGGUUAUGCGAGUGUGCGGGCGCGGGCGGUGGGGCUGUGGCGGGGCAGCCAUCGGGUAGGUACAGCCGCUGGUACGUGGGAGCAGCAGGUUGCUGGUAUGGCCGGGUAUUUAGUAGCGCGUGGACCGUGUGGGUGUGUGGGCCGGUGAUUAGUGCGCGGGCUGGCAUUUGCCUGAUUGGGGACCUCCAGGUCCCCGUCCAUCGCGUGGUCCCUAGGGUUUUGCAUUGUUGAGCGAGUGGGGCGAACUCCCUCGCGGCACUCAUGUAGAAAGCUAGGUCCUUUGUGGGGUCGGAGGGAUCAUGAACCGUAGAGCCGGGUAGGGCGUCGUCAUUGGCUACGACCUCGGGGUUGCUUGUGCGUGUGUCGUGUUUGAUGAAGUGAGAAUGACGUUGCUUUGCCGUUUGCUUCGGUUUUGCCUGCAGGACUUCUAGGGAAGGCUUUGGUGGAGCUGCGGGGCUCGGUAGUGCCUCUUGCCAGCGGGCCAGGAGGGAGGUGAGAGUUCGUUGGGGUAUGGGUUUAGGUAGGUCUCCCGCUGAAUUGAGGUCGGCCUUGGAGACGCCGGCGGGCAGGGUGCGGCUUUGCAUGGGGAGGGGUUUGUGGCCCAUAGAUUUGGGGGGUGCUUCUGCCGGUUUACAUAGGGCGAUGGUAAAUCGGUUUAAGGCCCUCUUGUGCUUGUCUUUCACCCUGCCUUUUGGGAACCGCCGGUCAAGCUGCGUGGUGUCAAUAAUGUGCCGCCCUGUGUUUGCGUCCACCAGGUCCGCCAGGUUCAGUCCAAGGUCGAUGGUCAAGGGGCUGAUCCAGUCGGCGCGAAGGUAGGCGGGCGUGGUGGCUUCAGCGGCCCGUAGUUUAGAGACAAGGGCUGGUAGGGCGGCAGUGAAUUCUUUGCCUUGCAGCAUGGCAAGUAGGUCGUGGUCCUGUAGAAGUGUGAGUUGUUUAAGGGUGACAAAAAAUUGACCCGCCCUUUUCAUGUCGUGCAGUGGGAGGUCACUUCCUGCGUGCGCGGCCUGUAGGUGGAGCAGGCGGCGUGUCACGACACCAAGCCGGCCGGUGUCGUUGAGCGAGAUUACGAGUAGCCUCGAGGCUCUCUGCACGUAUUCUUCCCGGAGUGAGCCGAUCCCGAGGCCGCCUAGCUCGGCGGGUAGUAGGAUGGCGCGGGUGGCGCAAUCGCGUGGUAGACCGACGCAUCUUCGAGCGAUGCCUGCGAUUUGGGCGUCCAAGGCCCGAAUGUCUGGCUGCGUGUAGGCCAUGGUUGGUAAGGAGUAGGCCACUUUGGCUUUCAGGCACUGUUUGAUGAGCAUGUAGCAUUGGCGUGGGAGUUUUCGGUACCUGCUCAGCUCCUCGCCGGCGUCGGUUAGGUCGGCUUUGACCGCUUUCAGUUGGGAGCGCCAGUCUAGUGUCAUAGUGAUUUCAACACCGAGGUAUCGGUAGGGCUUGUGCGGGGGGAUGUAAGGGAGGGUGAUGGCGGAUCGCUUGCCGUCUUUGGUGCAUGUGCCGACAUGGAUGUGGCCCGCCAGGAGGCGUUUGAGGGUGCGGUCACAGGCGGGGCCCUUAAUGCUCUUGUCCGUACUGUUGGCGCUUGCAUAGUGGUGUAGUAUGCCAGUGCACGCGCUCUUGUCGCGGUUGAUGCGCAUGCCGCCCCAGGCAGCGUACCGGGCGAUCUUGUCAGUUUGGCACCUAAGGUUGUCUCGGGAGUUGGCAGCUACAGUCAGGUCGUCCGCGUAGCCUAGGGACGAGCAGUUAUGUUCGUCGUUUUCGCUGUUGGUGAGACAGCCGUACCGGUAGCCUCGUCCCCCGUAGUGGAGCCACCGCAGCAGCGGUUCAAGGAAGAUAAUGAACAGUAGGGGCGAUAGGGUGUCACCCUGCAUAGUGCCGCGCCGUAUGUGAACAGGGUUGGUGCGGCCGUGUGUUGUGCGGAUUGUGGUGUUUGCGGAGGAGUACAGAUUGCGUACGACUUCAAUAAAGUCGGUUGGUAGGCCCAGGUGGUGCAUUAUUGUAAGCAAACGGUCGUGGUCAAUGGUACCGAAGGCGUUCGAGAAAUCAAUGUAUGCGACAUAUAGGUCUCGUUUUGUUAAGGCUGCGUCUUCGAUUACAUGCAGUAAGUUCAUGAUUUGGCGUUCUGUUCCCUUGUGCUUCUGAAAGCCCUCUUGUGCUUCGCUGUGGAUGAGAAGAUCUGUGCACGCUUCAGUUGCCGCCCGGGUGACUAAGCUGGUAUACAGCUUGUACAGUGUGUUGCACAGCGCAAUAGGCCUGUAGUUAGAGAUGGAGAGCGGGUCUGCCUUUUUGUACAGGAGAAUGGUGUCGCUUGUGGACCAGCCGGCCGGGAGUUCGGCCUUAAUCCACGCGACGCACAUGAGGGUAUGGACAGCGGAUUGUAACGCCUCUGGCAUGCACUUCAGUAGCUCGUUCGGGAUGCCGUCCGGGCCGGGGCUUUUAUUGCGGGAGAGGGCCUGCAUGCACCUCUGGAAGUUGCUGGAGUCGGCGACGUUGGGCAGCAGGGAUUGAGCGUCUGGGUGUGCUGUGCGGGCCAGUAGGAAGCCGCCGUCGGGCGCUCCGGGUUCGUUCCACGGGAAAGUUGUGUCCUUGUCCUCGGGUCUGUAGCGGCCGGUGCGCUGGCCUCCGGUAGGUUCCGCGGCUGCCUGGAAGUGGGCGUGGAGCGCGUCGUUGAUGUCAGAACUGGUUGUGGCUAUGUGUUGGGUUGCGGGGUGCCGCACAGCCGUGAGGUUUUGCCGGGGCCCUGAUUUUCCGAGCAUAAUUUUGGCUGCCUUGCUUUGUGAGGUUGCAAAGAGUUUGGAGAUCUUAGUCAGCCAUUUGCUAGCGGCCUUGGCGCUGGUUUCUUUCUGUGUGGUGCGGCGUGUUUUGAGUGCGUCUUGCCACUCCUGCCGGGCGGCAGUGGCGGGCGCGGGCGUCGCGGGGGGCUCGGGUUGUGAGGGAUUGGGGGCCGUUGGAGGCGGGAUUGCGGGUUCCUGCAGUUGAGCCGCCCGCACGAGGGCGAGGUACUGUUGCUUUUUUUGUUUUUCGACUGCUAUCAAGCGCUUGAGUUUCUUUGCUUCUGUUCGGGAGGGCUUCGCUCUGGAGGUCCGAGGUGGUUUCUGGGGGCACGUUUGCAGCAUGAGUUUUGCCCCGACGGCAAGCGCUCCAUAUAAAGCGGUAGAGGCGGCGUUGAGGUCGAUGGCGGAGAGUUGAGCGCGUGCGCCGGUUAUGAUGUCAUGGGCAGUGCGUGUCGAUGCCGUGGAGUUGGAGUGGUGAGAGAUUGCGGCUACGGUGGAGUCGAUGAUUUGUUGCGCGCUGCAGUUGGGUAGGGCAAGUGUGGCGUGUAGUGUUACAAGCGCGGUGGUUCCUUCUGCCUCCCAUUGUUGCGAGAUGGCGCGACUUUGGCUUUGCGUGAUAGGUUUGACAAUGUUUGCAAGUGUUGGGCUGGCAUCUUCUGGUUGUCUUCGAGGUUCCCGUUCAGUGUGUGGGGAGGCGUCGCGCGGGGGUUUGUAGGGUAGGGUAAUUUGCAGGUGGAGAGCGAGAUGAUCAGUUGUGCCUGCACAUUCUGUGGUCCAUUCUCGAGCGGGGCUGUCCUGGCGCAGGGCGUGGGUAUUGGCUAGGAAGUCGUCUAUGCGGCUCUCGUGGGUGAUGGUGUCGUGUUGUAUCUGUGUGUAUGUGUACAGCCUGGGUUGUGUGUGGGCGCCUGCGGCUGGUUUGAGGCUUGUGCGAGUCAGGAAGGUCUGGUGCGUUUUGUCGCCUUGGGUACCAGUGCGGGUGCUCCUAUCCGUGUCAUAAGCAGCGGCGUUCCAGUCCCCGCCGGUUACGAGGGGUUCUUUUAGGCGGGCUGCGCUCUUGGUGGCACGGGUGAUGUAUGUGUAUAAUGCAUCGCGGGUGGAUUUGUUGUCUGGUGGGCAGUAUAUCCCGAUGAUAUGCAGCGGUAGGGAUGAAUGUGUUGCGAUUCGCAAGUGAACCAUGUAUCCUUGCAGCUGUGCUGGUGUGGGCAAGCAUGUAAUGUGUUCUUUCCGGGCGUAUCUGGUGUGUACGGCUAGUGUGACGCCGCCGGAGGGUUGGUGCCGCCGCGGGUCUUGUUUUUGGCCCUUCAGUGGUGGGGGGCGGGGUGUGCUGUGCACGAACGACGUGUACGCUUUGAGGCUGUUUUUGAUGAUGUCUCGUUCCGUCCUGGUUCGAUGGGCUCUCGUUUUGGUUUCGGUGAGUAUGAGGAUGUCUGCGUCCCAAGUCUCUAAUUCAUCUCGAAUCGCUGUCAGAUUUGAGAGCAGGCCUCGGGCGUUAAGUGUGACGAGGUGGCAUGCAUCGGUGUGUGUGGGUGCCACCGGCGUUGCAGGGUCUUCCCGAGGCGCCUGUGCAGCCUUGAGGAAUGCUUGGAGUGUGGCUUGUCGUGCCUUGACAGCCAGGCGCGGUGGGGGGUUGGGAGGCGCGGCGGGUGGUGAUUGUUGGGGGGAAAUGUUGGUCACGGCCGGCGUUGCAGUGGGUGUGUGUGGGUUUGCCGGGGCGCGGGUGUUUGGGGCUCGCUUUGCUUCGCAAUUGGUUGUGGCCCGUGUUGUUUUGCGUGGUGCCGGGGGGGAUAGGGAGAGCGCGCGUUUUGCAGCCUUGCGUGGGUUGGUGGGGGAGCCCAUGGCUCGCAGGAGGGCGUGUGUAAUGGUGUUUGUGCGUGCUUUUUUGGGUAGUGGGCUGCGGGUGGGUGAUUUGGCGUGUGUGACAAUGAUGUCUCGCGUGCACGGGCCUCCGUCCCAAAUAGAUUCGUGGAACAGAGGUGAGGGAUCUUGGGUGACAGAGCCGGAGGUCCAGGUGUGACGUGUGACGGCGAUAUAGUGGUUGCAGUCUGUAACGGGAAACGCGGUGGGGAAGCCGGCGAGAGCCCAGGAGUGGGGUACAUGUGCUAGAUACACGUCAUGGCGGGUGUCAUUGGGUUGGGGUGUUGGGAGAGUGAGCCAGUCGGUGUAGCCGGGGCUAAUGACGUGGAUUUGGACGCCUGGUAGGAGGGAUUGGAGGGCAAUCAGGUCAGGGAUGGUAAGCAUGGAGGUAUCGCGGAUAUUGCGGCAGUGUGUGCGUAUGGUGUUCUCUGGGUGUGGGGAUUCUUCGUAAAGGCCGAGGAUGUGUGUGCGCAUCUCGUCGCUGCCCGGGGUGCCUGGUGCGGUGAGAUGCUCGAGCCUGGAUGCGAUGCAUGCUCGUAUGGCGCCAGUCAUGGGCGCCCAUUGUGCUGGGUCGGAGGGUAUGAGUGGUACCCGGCUGCCUGGUAGGACGGCUAGGGUCCCAAAGAUUGCGCAGUUGUUGCCCCAGGAGCAUGUGUCUAGUAGUUGGUGGCCGUUUGCGGUGAGGUGGUUGGCAAGCUGACUUAGUGCGCGGAAAGAUGGUUGCCCCAUGCGGUCGGGGGCCCAAUUGGCGGGUGGCCCAAUUCCGUUCAGGCAGAGGGGUAAGAGGGGUGGCGUGUCAGGGGUGCGGGUAGACAGCGUGAAAAUUGUGCCGGCCAUGUCGAGGGUCGUGGUGUGUUGUAUGGUGCGGGGUUGGGUGUCGGCUGAGUCGAGGAUGAUCCAAUUAGCGCCGUGCCGUUUGACUGCAAGUACAUGGCCGUAGAUGCCGCUGGAGUAGCCUGGUGUGAAGAUGAGGAAUCCAUUGGCGGCUUGUGCAUGGCGGCGUGUGACGCUAUGUGGGGAGUCGCCGGGGCGUACGGCGUCGUGGGCAUGGAGAGCUAGUGCUUGGUUUGCUCUGUGGCAGUUGUACAUGAGAUAGUGGUUGACAGCGUGUAUUGAGAACUGGCCUAUGGCCGGUGUGAAGGCUUGCGACAAUGCAAAAGUUUCGGUGGUGUUCUCGCGUCCUCGGGCUUGACGUAAGAGCUGCUCUAGAUACGACAGGACACGGUAGGGGGAUACGGCAGCUGCCCCUAACAAGUUGUUGAUGGCGUGUAUCCAGCAGAAGGAGAGCUCUUGCUGUUCAAAGUAGAUACGUCCAGAGUGGGAGCUAGGUGGAGCGGAGGAGGAAGCAGGUGGUUUGCUGCCGGCUGUAAAGAGGAGGCAUUGUGUUCCGCGUCCCUUCGCUUGCCCUUGUACGGCCUGUCGCGCAUCUGCUAUUGCAGGUGGCUUCGGCCGUGGGGCGCUGCGGGAGGCGUGAGGGAAAUACAGCCAUAUGCGAGCGGGGGGGAAAUUCGAACCUACAGCCUCCGAUACGUAGUGCGUCUGUGUCCGCAAGUCAAACGUGGCGAGCAGCUUACACCGCCAGUGCCACCAGAAGGCAAUAAGCAGAGGCAAGAGGACAUAAAGCAUGAGCAUUCUGCCGGCCAGCGGGCAAGUUGUCCACCCAUUGACAUGGAAUCCGGGAGCGAAACGGUCUUCCCGGCUGCACAAACUGUGUGUAUCCUUCACCAGUCCCGCAGCAAGUAUCAGCAGGGAUAGGGCGAGUGUGAGCGCGAGGGGGCAGAGAGCAGAAAGGCGUGAGGAAAGUGUACUCUUGUUUGUAAUGUUUUGCGGGUUAGUCAGAUUGUUUUGUCUCUGGGGAUAUAAAUUUCUUGGGGUAAGGGCAGCGUUGUUGGGGUUUUUGAGGGUCGGGUUGUUGUGGGUUGGCUCCAAGGGUCCGGUUCGCGUGUGCUGGUGCUGCGGUGUUACAGAGUAUUGUUGUGUGUUGUUGGGGGUAAGUCGCGACGCUCUGGCGUUGCGCGGGAGUUGUGAUGUCGCGGUCUGAAGCGUCUGUUCCUCCUUAGUGUCUGGUUGAAGGUGUGAACGUUGUUGUUUAGUCUUGCCAUCACUCAGAGGGUGCUGGCGAGCCCUGGGCGGCUGGUGGAAGUCCGGUCGAUAGGAUGAUCGUGAGAACGUGGGUUCGGGGUCGCGUCGCAACACUGUGAUCCCAAGGAGCUUUGAACCGUGACCUUUGUGGUAGGGGUGUGAGGCCCCUUUACAGGGGAGUCUCGCUACCGGUCGUGUCUCCGCAUUCCCUGGGCAGUUUGCCGCUUCAGAGCCUGCACCUGUUUUUCCUAGCUUUUGAUCAUUGCUAGGAAGGCUAGGGCAUGGCUCAGCCACGCUAUCUUCCGGACUUGGCCCAGUCGGCGCCAGUCUGUGAGUGCGAGCUGGCUAACUAGCCAGCAUCGAUUGGCAAGAGUAUUGGCAACAUUCUAGUGCGGCAGCAGCAGCAGUAGCAGCGGCAGAGCUGGCGCUGGCAACGGCAGCAGUGGCGGCUCAAGCAGUCAAUCAAGCCGUCGCAGCACGCCGCUGGCUUGUCGGCUGCUGAGGUCCGUGCGUUAACGCCAGCAGGCAUCUUGCCGCUGGCGCCUGUAGCCCAGCAAGGAGCUAGGCGUGCUUGAUCGGCUUUAAGUCAGAACCCGCAUGGUUUAUGCGGCGGGGCGCGGCAGGCAGACCCCGUCUAUGUCUGGUGCAUGUGGGCAACCUUCCAAUUGCCGCCAUGUACCUGGCGGCGGUCAAGUCCGCCUCCAAUACUCACAGCAAGGUGCGGGGCGUGGGUGAGGCCGCCACCUACCUGGGGAUGGAGAUCGGGAGGGACCCCGGCACCGGCGAUGUUCCGCUGCAGCAGUGCCAGUACAUUAGCGACAGCCACUGCAUGACUGCUGCUGCACCUUGCAGCCUGCAUUGGUCGCCUAGCACUUGUGUGCAGCCAGUAACAAGCAGCCAACACUGGCGGACGGCAGGACCCGCCGAUCACUGUUUGGCGCGCUGAACUGUGUCGCCGUCAACCCAACACUGCAGAUGCACUACGCCUGCUGGCACUGAUCCACAAGCUGGCGGUGGGUGUGUUGCACUACCUUCAGCAUGCCGCCGACAUGGGUCUGCCCUUCCGUGCUUCCGCUGGUGCUCCCGCCCGCACUGGCAGCAGCAGUCACAGUGACGGCGGUGGCGGUGACAUAGGUGGCUCUUUCAUGAGCUACUGUGACACCGACGGGGCUGGUGAUUCCCUGACUGGCCGCUGCAGACCGCCUUCAUCCUUGGCCUGGGCCAGUGCCCAUGUCUACCAUCUACACUGUAGAAAUCUGCCCAAAUCCGCCGAAGGUGAAAACAUUUGUUGGGACUGGGCCGCACUUCUACGGAGUGGAGACGUUUGGGUGCAGAUUUGGUGGUAUCUAAAGAUAUUUUGAGGGUUUGGGGGCUUGCCCCACUGAUAAAUUGUUUCCGGGCGUAGAUGCUGCAGGAGGGGUCAUCUACGCGCUGUAGAUGCUGCGGGCCUGAGGGCAUCUUUAAGAUACAGGCACUGAAGUCCUGGGCGAAAGGGAUGUUACUUAGGGAUGGGGCUGCGCUUGGCUCUGCCAAUGCGCAGCAAGCCUGGUGCCUAGCGGGACUGCAGUGGCAUGCAGCGACACCAGAUAUGGUGCUCAGUUUACAGGGCAGUUACUCUCACGUUAGCAGCCCAUCAUGUGCUAACCAUAGCAUACCCCUGCCUGGUGUUGCAUCGCUGGGGGUUCUGUUGGUUGGUCUGGAGGGGCCGAAAGGGGGUCAUUUUGGUGCCGCACAGAGUGGUCUCACGGGACCACUAGCUGGCUAUGCCUUUCUUCGUGCGGUGCUGCACUUAAUGCAGUUCCCGGCUUUGCAGCGGUGAUGCCAUAUGUUGACUGCAUCACACGGCACGGUGUGCUUGCUGACCUUGCCUCAGUGCUGGCGUCUCAGUAUGCGCCGUUGCUCGCGGGCCUGCAGGCGGCACCCGUCGUCCUGGCUGACAAGGAAGUGUUUCGGUGUGCGUCCGGCCAGCGGCUGAACAUGACUAAAGUUGAACUGUUGGUGCUAGGCGCCCGGGAAGGCUUGGGGUGGUGCCGGCCGGGGCGGCGGGGCCUCCCUUGCCCCCGGGCUGGCGGGUGGUCACAACGGCCAAGUCGCUGGGUGUACAUUUUGGUGACUGGAAGGCAGCCACCCCACCAAUGGAGUAUGCGGCGGUGGUGGGGGUGCUGGGCAUGGAUGUGUGCAUGCCGGUGUCUAUGUUUGGUCGGGCGGCCGCGGCCUCGGCGUAUGCCCUGGGCAAGGUGCUCUACCAUUUGGAGUUUGCGGGUCUGCCCUCGGAGACGGCUGUUAAGGCGUUGUUGGGUCAGGUGGCGGCAGUGGUGGACCGGCCCAGUAUGCCGCUAACCCCCGCGCCCGGCCGGUAGGCGUGUCCCUGGAGAUCAUGCAGCUGCCUCCGGUGUGUGGUGGCGUGGGGCUCCUGCCUCUGCGGCAGCAUGUGCAGGCACGGCACGCUGGCCUGGCCGUUCGGUGUGUGCUGUGGGCGUGUGGUUGACUGCCGUGUGUGCCGCCAUGGACGAAGGUGGUGGAGGCGUGGCUGCGUAGGGGUCACCCGGCGGCCACGCCGCUGUGCCUGUUGGUGCGGGGUGGCAACUCCCGCGUUCUGAACAAACCAGUUCCCCCGGCCUGCGCACCGUUUUUGCGUUUGUUAGGUGCUAUGGCUCAUUUGCCGCCAGAGACGUUGGUGGCGCCGCCCGCCCCGGGGCCCUGGGUUUCCCAUGUGCCAAUGUGGGCGAAUCCGGCGCUGUGUGAGAAUGAUCGGACUUUUGAAGAGGCGUUUGCAGAUUUGUUUGCCUUACCGGGGCCCCUGUACGUGGGUCAGCUGGUGGCGACGUCUGACCAGCUGGAGGAGGUGCGAGCGGCUUACGCCUGCCGUGCGGGGUGGGGCACCCGGUUUGGGGAGGCAGUUCUAGAUAUGUAUCUGAAGAAGGUGUGGCGGCCAGUGCUUGGGUGGGGGCCCCGGAGGGCGCUCCCAUCCCCGCUGGUGGGGCCUGACUCGCCCCUGCAAGCUGCAGACCGCUUUGCGGUGGCGGUCGCGCUGCUCCCCACCAGCUUGGAGGCGGCGGCGCGGGAGGCCGGGGCGGCUCGUGGGCGUGCCGCUUUUAUGCCACUCUCGGCCGGAGACAUGCAACGGGCGGUGGCUGGGGCCCUUGCGCAGGUGGCCCGGGGAUUGGGGUGGGUGCACGACGGGGGCCCGCCCAUUCUCCUGGUGGUAUACUCCGUGAAGGCGGGGACGGUGAUGCAACUGGGUCCCCAGCUGUCCGCGCUGCGGACUAAACAUUUGCUGUAUGUGCGGGAUGCUGGUGUGCCGGAAGCGGGAGAGGCUCAUGCCGCUGGACCUUUGCCGGCACUCUGGCCCGUUUGUGAGCGUUGAAGUGGGAGAAUCGCCACAAGGAGGUGCUGUGGCGGGUGGCAGCCAACGCAUGUUGGGCACUUCCGAAGAAUGGUCAUCACCUCCGUGCGUCUGGAACGAGGAUGCCUCUGUGCCAGGCUUGUGCGAUGGAUAUGUGCGAUGGGGACCGCCGGCACCCUUUCUGGGACUGCGUUGUGGCGCGGGCUUUGCGGGAGGACAUGGCUAUGGGUGCCGUGCCGGACUUGGGGGAUGAGUGUUUCACUCGUGCUGAUCUUUGGUUGGUGCAGCCGCCUGCUGGGCUGGCGCCGCCGGUUUGGGAUGUGGUGUGCCUGGCUGCGUUUUCCGUCCUGGACCUGGGCCGGCAGCAGGUGGUCAUGGCUGGUGUACGCGCGGGUCGGGCUUUGACGUCGUCCCAGGUGCUGCGUGUUAGUGUAUCGUUUAUCUCCGACUUUUGGGGUCGGCUGCAGUCUUUUGUUAGUCUUGGGAUGGGAAAGUAAGGUGCCCUCUCAGCACCCACCUUGCGCAGGGUACCGGUGACUGCAUGCUUUCAAGCACGUCAAUAAAUGCUCCUGGUGGUACCUCAUGAUGUGGACUCCCCGCCUCCCUCGCCUUGAAGCCGCCUCUGGGAUGUGGGCGCCGGGUACCUCUGCUACGCUUUUCGACAGCAGCCCGUCGCGCGGGCGCGGGGGCAGCCGAGCGCGCGGGCGUGGCGGCAGGCGCGCGCACAGCAGCCCGUCGCGCGGGCGCGGGGGCAGCCGAGCGCGCGGGCAUGGCGGCAGGCGGGCGCACAGCAGCGGAGGGAGCGGCAACGAAGACGGUGACCAGCGUGGGCCCCGUGGCGGGCCGGGCCGGGCACCCGGGGACAACCCAGUGCCGGGCGUGGUCGCGGCUGGCGAUCCGCUGGCUGAUUUUGAGCUGGAAACCCUUGGCCCCAUGCGCAUCGUGGGCGUUGAUCCCAGCGUAGGCAACUACCUGGUGGCCUGUGUCGGGUCAAUGCCAGGCUUCUCACCGCACAGCUACAGUGGCCGGCCACGAGCCGCGCACGUCUGGCGUGGCCCAGAUGGCCAGGCUCCUGGGCCUGCCCAGUCCCCACUGCAGCGACGGCGGAAGCGGCGGCGGCGACGGCAACAGCGGCGGCAACAGCGGCGGCAACAGCGACAGCAGCGGCGGCGGCGGCGGGGGCAGAAACGGAGGUGGCGGCGCCAGGGGGGCGGGAGGUGGAAGGGCAAGAGGCGAGGGUGGCGGGGCACGCGCCAGCACACGCAUCAGCGUGCCGCAACAGAACGGCGCCGCCAGCAGCGCGCCUGCUUCACCCGGCUGUCUGGCGCUGGCUACCGCCACUGCACAGGCCAGACAGGCCGUCGGCUGUGGCAGCAGGCACGGCAAGAGGAGCAGCCGGCGCUCAAGUGCUGUCAGGCGGGGAUACCCAGCGCGCGGGUGGCGUCGGCAGCUGAUCAUGAGCUGCGAAUACGCUACCUCUACUCUGGAGGUGGCGUGGACGCGGCGGCAGCUGCCGGGUCUGCGCCUGCGCCGGCGCAACAGUACGGGCUGUGGCACCUGCUCCGUUUCUACCGGCAGUGGGGCCAGCGGCGGUGGCGCCUGACUGUCCAUGUGCGGACGCAGAAGGUGGGGGUUGAGCAGAUGCAUCCACACCAACUGCAUUGCGCUGACGCAGCACCAAUGCCACGGGUACAGGUGCUGGAGCACUCGGCGCAGCAGCUGGCUGGUGGAAGGCCCAAGGAGGAGGUCAUUGUUGGCUGGGGCAACGCCACCACUGGUCAUGGCGGUUGCAUCAGCAGGUUGGGGCGGGGCCCAAACCGGGCACUGCUCCGCCUGCUGGUGGACAAGUACGCGCACCUGGUGGUGCACGUGGAUGAGUUCUACACAUCACAGGCAAGAUGAGAGCAGACGGGUCGGAAUGAGUAGACAGGUGGUCGGGUGGACAGGAUGGGGCUCGUGUACUGGUAGCCGGGUAGCCAGCAAGGUUCACACUGUACACCUGUCCCCUCCCUCCCCAGGUGUGUGCGAAGUGCGGGCGGCGCUUGCUCGGCGACGGGCAGUGCUGCCUGCAGGCGGUCGUACCAUGGGGGGCUCAUGUGCUCACCAAGUCCAAGUGUGCAACCACUGCGGGACGGUGUGGGUGAGUCUACUUUGCGGGCGGGCGGCUGGCUGGGUGAUGGCUGGGUGGCUGGGUGACGGCUCAGUGGGGCUCAGUGGGGCUCAGUCAUGGGCUCAGUGGGGCUCAGUCGUGGGCUCAGUGGGGCUCAGUGGGUGAUGGAUGGGUGACGGCUGGGUGACGGCUCCGUCGAGGGCUCAGUGGGACUCACUCACUCUACCCUCCCGACGGUGCAGGGACGUGACGUCAACUCCGCAACCAACAUCCGGCACGCGCUGGUGGAGAUGCUGCUGGGGCACAAGCGACCUGCAUCGCUGCAGACUGGCGGUGGCGGCGGCAGCGGUGGCGGCGGCAGCGGCGGCGACGGCAGCGGGGCGCGUGCCCGCAUCUUGGUAGUGGAGGGGGCGGGAAAGGCCACGUGGAGGAGGAGAGCGCAGCGUAGCGCCGCCCAAGAAGCGGCGCAAGCGCGCAGGCUGAGGAGCCGGCUGGUGUCCAGGUAGCGGUCCGCGGUUGGGCUGGCAGGGCAUGCGUAGCGGCAUGACGAGUACGGUCGUGCGGCUGUUGACAAGUGUGCUGUGUCUGGCUGCGGUUGGCUCUGCUGUGACAUCGCGAUUGCUAGGCACCUGGUUUGGCUAUGUGCCUGUGGAAACCGACCCUGGCUAUGUCCGGGCGAUGAGGUUGUUCGGCCUCAGGGGUCGUAUCUUGUUUUGGGGGUAAUGUCUAGCUCCAGACAAAAACGGCCGGGUGGCCGCCGUCUUUUGUCUGGGCACAUGGCGGUUUGGGGGCUUCUCCAUAGGAUUUCGGACAAAACCCGCCCCAAACCCGGGCCAACAAAGUCUCGCCCCAGACAUUAGCCCCAAGGACGAAUGUCUAGGAAACGGCCAAAAUGGUCAAUUAAUGUCUGGAGACAUUAAGAUAGGAGCCCUGUUCGGCCUCAGACUGUGGAGGGGCUCAGCCCCUUUUCCCGUGACCAGGGAACACUUGUUCUGAACUCUGGGUUAACGGGGUCCUCGCCCCCCCUUCGUCCAGGUGCCGCGCCCCACCCGCACGGAGUGGCCACUGUCCAUUGAUUGGGCCGCCUUCACCCUGUGGGUUUAGACACUUGGUAUCGUGCUAUGUUUGCUGAUGCCUGCAAAGUGCACGGGCACAUCACGAUUACUAGCAUGUCACAAUGAAGCUGUGAAACCCUGAACUACCGACUUUGAAGUGUUAUGAUGUGAAGGUUUGAAACCUUGAACUUCGCAUUCAGACAGCAUACUGUAAUGCAUAUGUGAAUGCGGGUAAACCUCAAAAGCAGAAAUCUGCCUUCCAGUACCACUGCAGGCAUCCCAAAAGCCAUCAAAAUUCGAGUGUAGGCCCGGAUUCAGGAGCCCUUCUUUGCACAAGCCUUUAGCUGCAUUUGUUAGAGGUUUUACAAAUGAACAUGACAUUGCUCAUGCCCCAAGCCCAUUGCCAGGGUCCUAGUCACAGGACUUGUGUGUACGCAAGUCACCUGACUGUCAAGUUUUGAUGGGGGUUAAGGAUGCGCACCCUCUACACUGAAAGCCACCCAUUCGACACCAGUGCAUCAUGUCUCUCUAUCUCAAACAAACACAGGACCCGCUUGACAAGCUGCUUGGCGAGCUGCCCACCAGGCAACACGAAAUCCUUCCAUGCCAGCUCCCCAUAGUAUUCAGACCUACAGGAUACCCAAGUAUGUCGACACAGCCAUGGGGCCCUCACGCCGGAAGUACAGACUGCAGCACCAGCUCGCCAUUCUGGAGCCCGGUGCCACUGGUAGUUGCCACACGUGGUGCACCCAGGCUGCCGUUGAGCUUGUUGAAGUAGGCCCACGUGAUGCCAAACAUAAGGCCUGGGCUCUUGGGCAGCUUGCCAUCCAGCACAAACUGGAGUAGGUGUUGCAGAAUCAGGCAUCAGGCAGGGAUGAGCUAGGUGUCAAAAGAAAGAGCAACACAGCACAAGCAUUAGUCACAUAAACAGUUGCCACUUCCCCAAUGCAUGCCACCAUGUUGUGAUUGGACAGUGGGUAGCCGCCAUUGUAGUGAGCUUGCGUACCUCAUGCCCCCAUGCACACCGCAGGGCCUGCAUACCUGCUGGCAGCUCUCGAAGGGCAGGGCCAGCACCUCAAUGCACUCGCCGUGCCCCAACAGCCCGCCGCCUGCACCUGCCACCGCCAUAGACGAGUCCACCUGCAUACCGUAAUGCAUAGCCAAUGAGCACACAACAGACACAGCGCAAGCGGGGGAAGGAGGAGGCGGGGAAGGAGGAGAAGGAGGAGGAGGAGGAGGAGGAGGAGGGGAGGCGCUACCUAUGGCAUGAACAAGCUGCGGGAUGGCCAGAAUCGGUGGCUGAGCAGUCACCAUACUGACCUCCGCGUAGUACAUGAUGUGUGGACAGCCCUGGGUGCCCGCAGACGCAAUGCCAACUCCAAUCUGUACACCACCGGCAUGCAACACGGGGCACGACUGUGACACUGCAACAUUGAGGCAAAUGACGAGGAUUUCUAAGCAUAUCAUGCCCAAGAUGGAUGGCAGCAUUGCAAGGGACUCUGGUUAGCGGCUCACCUCGUGAAUGCCCUCCAGGGGAACAUCAAACCCGCACUCCUCCAUAAUCUCCUAUGCAGCGGGUGGCACAGACACAUGAGUGUGGCGUCUCUUAAACUUAAUACCGCAACCUAGAACCACCAUUGCGCGCUCGAUUGCGUUGUUCGCUCUGGCAGCGCACAAGCGCCUCAAGCGCGAACGUGAGCCGAGCGCCGGGUGCGCGCAAGCAGGCGCAGCGCCGCAUGGCAACCGAUGGGUGCGCACCUCCUUGCAGAUCUCUGGGUUGGACUUGUCUUUAUCGAUCAGGCCCGCGCACAGCUCAUAAGUAAACGCUGCGUGCAUGGCCAUUGACAAAGGGGGCACAGUUAAAGAAGAUUACAGUAAUUGUCAGUGUGUGUUGUGGAGGCCUUGGUGCUUCAUGCCUGUCCAUGCAUCCCGUCAUGUUGUCCAUUGCAUGUUCUUAACGAACCUAGCAGUGGCAUUGCAUGCAGCUGCUUAACUCCUGAGAGAAGCUCGCCAUUGAUAUUUGCUUGGCUACGUUGAUACACACGCGCGGGCGCAUAUACAAGCACCCACCCUCGCUGUAUGGUGGCUUGGGCUUGCCAGCGGCCUCCGCCUCCCGCAUCAGGGUUGCAUACACAGCUGGCCUGAACAGAGCACAAGCAGGAGGACCGUGAGCACACAAAGGAGAAGCAGGAAAACGAGUUAAAGCCAACCCGCGGUUUCCUGUGCAUUGCAGUAAACCUUGCAUCAUAUUGCUACCUCCUUCAACUGCGCCGGUCUACCUCGCUGAGCCCGCACCUGAACUGGCGCACGAUAAUCCAGGCGUCGAGGUCCUUGUGGUACAGAACCACGCCAACGGACGCGUGCGACUCAACCACGUCCCAGCGCCGCUCCUUUCCUGCACGUGUUGCAGUGCACAUUGUCUUGUGAGGCACUCAUGUUAUCAGAUGGCGAAAGCCCCUGCACCACCUUCUGCUGACCCCAUGCCUGACAACGGGUCCUCCUGGUCCCCACCUCGGAAGUUGUACAUGGCGGCCUUGGGUGUGAUGUACAUGCUGCUCUCCAGUGGCUCCAGCCGGAAGGAGCUCUCAGGCCCCAGCAUGUCCAAGGCCUCAACCACCGUCUGCCCUGUCACGUAUAGAUGGGGAUGUGUGUGAAUAUGGUUGUAUCCUAGCAUAAGUAGGACUUCAGACGUGAUAUUUGAGUGGUGCUUGCGUUUUAUGGGGCUGUCGGCAGACCACUGGUCUGUCGUGCCUUGUUUUGCGUGGGUGCUGCCGCCAAAAGACCUAAAAGUGGUGCUGUGUGUUGCGUUUCGGUGGGGCUUUGGCGGGCUUCGGCUUGGCUUCGACUCAUGUACGUAGCACUUUGAAGGUCGGCUGUCAACCAGGGGGUGGGGGUUUCUCUCUGGGCCGAAGAUGGCUCCUCGCGGCGUGGGUGCGGUGUGCCCCCGCUUAUCGGGCUGUCCCUUCAUUUGUAACUCGCAUCCAUAAGUAGGGUCGGUUAAGAAUCAGACUGCCUCGCAAAAUAAACGUUACCACACUGCUAGUUCUACGGGGUAGCUUUCUGGGUGUUUUACCUCGCCCGGUGUAUGGAUAUACCCUCUGGGAACCUGCUAGGUUGUCUCUAGCUUAUCCCUGCAUGCUCUGACCGGUAUCACAACAUGGGCAGGGUUGUUCUCUAGCGCAACCAGUUACCGUUACAGCGCACCAUGAAUAAUGGUACGUAUCAUUUCAAGCUACGGGAUUGUGGAUAUGUGUAUUCCUGAGACAUAUGGGGCCAUGGUGCAGCACGGUGCCCUGAUGCGCUGACACAGCGCUGAAGUGGUCAUCUGUGCCUGCGUAAACUAACCCCGGCUUAUCCGGGAGCUCAGGUAGUCUCGAAUCCUUUGGCCUCAAAGGGCGCGAUGUGGUCUGGGCUGAGCCCACUUUUCCCAUGCUUCAGGCGUCAAAGGAAAAAGGGUGGGCACGCUGGGAUACAGCCGAUAAGAGGGGAUAGGACAGGUUGAUUAGGCGCACACAUAUCUGCUGCAAAGCAUGUACUUUAACAUGCAGCACUUAUUCCAUGCUUCAUCCGUGCUAUGCAUGCUUCCAUUGCAUCUUGUUUUUUAUCUCCGCUCGGACGGCUAGGUGCGAGUACAUGCAUGAAAAGCGCACGCCAUGGAUGCUACCCCGAGUGAGGCCCAUUCCUGGGCCUCCCUUCACUGCGUGGGCCCCGCCCACUGCAGCCAACAAGCUUUCCUGCUGCCCACUGUUUCCACUGCCCACAAACGUCUCCCCCGUUCUACCUGUCUCUCUGCAGCGACCAUCACUAUCCCCGCCUCUCCACAGUGCUCGGGCUGGCAUAGACUCUGCGGCCGUGCGUCUCGCCACGCCACUCACCCGGUGUGAGCGUCUUCACGCCAUACGGGUACAUAUUUGGAUACUUGAUUGGCCCGGCCAUUUCUGCAGCAGCCGAGCUCGCUUUGCAAGCAAUGCGCCUCAACCCAGAGCGGUGCGUCAGUGGGGCGCGAAGCGAGAGCAUCAGCAAGGGGUUUUAUUGCGCCCGCACGCUGAUGACUAUAAGCGAAGAUGUUAUCAAAAUAAGCAAUGCGAUGCGUUGAUGUGUCAAAUGACUUGACAAGCACGCGGAGACUGGAGACCGUCAGGGCUAGUCUGGGCCCAAUCUGCACCUCAUCCGGACGUCUUUGAAUGAGGAGCUUCACGGAAUGUUGCGGUCGUACUGCAUCUAUGAAUAGCUUAUAACUGUUCUGCAUACACUCUUGAAGCAGCCUUGCUCCCUGGCACAUGCGGUUUGAUAUUAGCGUGCAGCACAGCGGAGCUCGCUGCCAGCCUAAGUAUGUUUGGGCCGGACGCUCGUCUCGCAAUCAACCGGGAGCCGGCGCCGGUGAGCGGGAAGCAGGACAGUGUCAAGCACCCACCCGAGGGCUGUGUGCUGCGGCCGUGUGCUGCGGCAGAGCUGCGGGGCCCUUUGCUAGUGCCUUGCAGGUUUGGUACCAACCGAACGCUUACACCUGGGAUUGUAGGGAGAGAUACAUGAGCAGUAGACGCAGGAGUUGGACGCAGGUUGCGCCCGCCACUCAUGGGUCAACCAGCCUCACCUGUACUUCCAGCCACAACCCAGCCAGAGCUUGACCGGUGUCCUCCCAAGCACGCCAGCAUGACCUGCGACCCUCCGCUCUUGAACUUUGCAUCCUGCAGCUGCCCAACGAGCAGUCCCUGGUGGCUGAGCUGCGUGCCAAGCUGGGUCCCGGCCCGGACCAGGACAAGAUCCUGUUCAGUAUCCGCAGCGCCCGCGGGAAGACGCACUGGGCUGUCAACAGCUAUCUGCGGGAUAUCAUGUCGGCGGGGUGCGUGCCGGGAGAGGAGGACUUCCAUCCGGGGCGCGCCCGUGUGCAGACCAGUGGCGCGGCAGGGCCGACGGCAGUGGCGUCGACUGCAGAAGGUCAAACAGCAGACGACCCCAUGCCGCAGUCGCCGGACCUCACUGACGAGUCAGCGGCGCACUUCGCCGAGCGCUCCGGCCUAGACGCACUUCCCUCCUCGGUAUUGGAGCUGGUGCUGAAGCACCUGGACUACACCUCCCUGUGCGCGGCCGCCCUGACCUGCAAGGCGCUGGCGGCAGUGAGUGGUCGGGGCUGGGCCCGGUACUAGGCUGCGGCAUUGGAAAUGAUUGAUUGGACAUGUGAGAUGCCGCUUGGCUCGCUGUCAGCAGAUACCUUACGCAGUAUGUACGUGCUUGGCAGCGUUUGGUUUCCCUAUGCAAUUGUAGUCUCAGUAAAACGUUUUUAGUAUGUUUUCCCUUGCAAUCGGCAAACAGGUGGCAGCGUCCGAUGCGCUGUGGAGCAGCCUGUUUGCGGCACGCUGGGGCGCAGUGGUAUUUCCCACGGAGGCGUACCUGGCCAUGGGGGCGGCUGGUGGCGGCGUCGGGGCCGGUGCAGGUGGCUGGCCGGGCGCCGGUGCAGGCGCCUGGCCGGGUGCCGGCGUGGGACCGGCGGCAGCAGGUGCAGCAGCGGCUAUGGCCGCUACUGGCGGCACUGGGCCGGGCAUAGCGCUGGCUGGCCUUGCGCUGUGUGAGCCCGACAGCCUCCCGCAUGCAACAGUGGAUGGCGCAAAGGCAGCGGGGGAGCCGGGGCCCGGGAGCAGACCCGGCGAUGGCUUGCGGCAGAGCGCGCUGUUUCGACUGGGCUCAGGCCUUGCGCCAGUACGGGAGGACAGCACGCCGCCGCCUGCUCAGCGUCAGCAGGCGCCCCUAUCUGCUGCCUGUACGCCUCGGUCUGUUGCGGGCGCCUUCAGCCGUGUAGAUACGCUUCAGAAGGCGCCGACAGAAGCCUGUCCCAUUGCCUCCAGCUCCGCGCAGGUCAGCGAUGCAGGUGUCACCGGUAGUAAGCCGCACCAGGCAGCUACUGGGGGUGCUAGCAUGGGUAGCACCGUUCCAGCCGCUACCGGGGUAUCGGGCAUGGGCAGUACUGGCAGCAGAAGCAGCUCCCCAGACGGCGACAGCAGCGCUCGGCGGCGAUACCGGGACCAGGUGGCGUUCCUCAAGUCUCUGCGCUGCCCACGGUGUGGCGGCGCAGCAUUGCUGCCAAUCCUGUACGGCUUCCCUUCAGCCAAGCUGCUGGAGGGCAUGAGGUCCAAACGGUGAGUCCUAGUAACCGGGUUCACUUGGCAUGCUUGGGUGUACCAUGUGCCUUUUUACAACACGGUGUCGGUGUUUCCUUCACAGCGCCUCCAUACUCGUACGUCACCAACACCACCUCGUGUCUUGCCUCAUGUGCACUCAAAUGCUACAAGGUUCUACAAAUAUGCACUAACAAUGCCAUACUCACGCUGCACUACGCAACCCCCGCAUAAACAGGCUGAUUCUGGGAGGUGACCACCUCAUAGAGAGCUGUCACGUGUGGGGGUGCCCAAACGACCGCUGUGGUGCGAGCUACAGGUUGGUUGCCCCCGGGAUUGGCAGAAAGCGCGGUUUGCAAAGUACAUGACCUUACACACACGCCCGCCUUUCCUCGCACACUCCUCCAGGUUCUUCCCGUAUGACCGUGUGGAUGAAUGGAUGACGGACCUGGCCAAACCGCAGCCAGCCGGCCCCCACUACACCUAUGAGCUUUAGUAAUGAUGCAAUGUCACUUAUACCACUUGACGUUUGUAGUUGUUUCAACAGCAGUCAUGGGCAGAGUGGUUUUCAGCAGUCGUCAGCGUGACGUCAACUCCGCAACCAACAUCCGGCACGCGCUGGUGGAGAUGCUGCUGGGGCACAAGCGACCUGCAUCGCUGCAGACUGGCGGCGGCAGCGGCAGCGGUGGCUGCGGCAGCGGCGGCGACGGCGGUGGCGGCGGCGGCAGCGGCGGCGGCGGCGGCGGCGGCGGCAGCGGCGGCGGCGGCGGCGACAGCAGCGGGGGCGCGUGCGCGCAUCUUGGUAGCGGAGGGGGCGGGAAAGGCCACGUGGAGGAGGAGAGCGCAGCGCCGCCCAAGAAGCGGCGCAAGCGCGCAGUCUGAGGAGCCGGCUGGUGUCCAGGUAGCGGUCCGCGGUGGGGCUGGCAGGGCAUGCGUAGCGGCAUGACAAGUAGUGCGGCUGUUGACAACUGUGCUGCAUCUGGCUGAGGUUGGCUCUGCUGUGGCAUCACGAUUGCUAGGCCCUGGUUUGGCUAUGUGCCUGUGGAAACCGACCCCGGCUAUGUUCAGGCGAUGAGGUUGUUCGGCCUCAGACUGUGGAGGCUGUGGAGGGGCUCAGCCCCUUUUUCCGUGACCGGGGAACACUUGUCAGCAGUCGUGGACUGAGCACUUGCAAUGGACGUCACCCGUGGAAAUAUGCAGCAUGCAUACAUGGUUUCAAGCUUCUUGUGGACAGUCGCAGCGGGUUUUGGUCGACUGGGGCAGGGUGGGGAGCAGGGGAGGAACGCGCUACACACUAUAGGAGGAACGACUGCGUCGGUCCAGGCUUGCAUCGUGCUGGUAGCCCAUGCUGCACGUAUAGAGUGCUGUCUGCAUGCUGUGUCUACCGUAGUGUCGCUGCUACGGGGAUCACUGCCCCUGCCAGUAUCCGUCACGUAUGGGCUCCUACUGCCUUCUGACACAAGUAAUCAACCAAACAAAUCGCAGCCCGAGUCAUGGCUACAUGGCGCAGCACAAAGCCAUUGUAACCAACUGUAUCGAUGCAUGAACUUGAUUAGACACGUUGCAGUGAACGCAGCCCACACUGGUAGCUUGGAAUGGCGGCCACGCCAUUGCAACCACGGACUGUGCCUGGGACCAAACAGACAUUCAUGUUGGUUUAUGUUCUGGGUUAAGGGCAAGCCUGCGUCUCGUGCGGCACAUUGGCACCCCUGCCACGCCCCAAACCUUACGGCUGCCUUAUCCUGGCAUUCAUGCUUUCCAAACUAUGCCUGCGGCGGCCCAGUGGUGUUGCCAGCCGCCAUGUUUAAGCAUCCACUCCCCAUUAACGUUGCACCACACAGCACAUCACCACCAGCUGCUGGCCCGCCAGCAGCCGGGCCGCCACCAGCCCCGCUGCCACCUCGAAACGCAUGUCGCUGCAAGUGCAGAACAUGACAGGUAGUGGAUAAGCAGGGGGCCACAGCUGAGUCAUGCCGGUAUCUGGGGCAUGUGCCUUGUGCAGGCAGGCACACGCGUGGAAAGCCUGUGCUACACAACUGCAUGAGCAACCACAUGCUGGAAUCACCACGCUGCUCUACCAGACACCGCGGCCUUCUUAUCUUCUUUUGGUCUCUGGGUUAACGGGGUCCUCGCCCCUCCUCGUCAGGUGCCGCGCCCCACCCGCACAGAGUGGCCACCGCCUACUGACCGGACCGCCUGCGACCCCUAUGCGUUUAGUCACCUGGUGUCGGUGGAACUGCUCUACACUCCAAGCCGCCCACCUGGGCGCUUCCUCCAGCAGCAGCCGUUUGAAUCCCAGCCGCUUGUAGAAGCGCAGACGCGACUCGAUGGUUGUGAGGUACACCGCCGUGCCGGGUGCCAGGCCCUCCAGCUGUGUGGACACCAGCCGGCUCCCCAGGCCUCGUCCCCUAGUAGUGGGGGCGGUGACAGCGAAGUGAGGAAAUUGUCCACGCCCUUCCAGCAAGAGCUCUGUAACCGUUGUUGCCAUGCCGCGUACCUGAACGAGGGCCGGACCACCAGCGUGCGAAGCUCUGCGGAGCCAGGCGCAGCUAGCGGUACAGUCUGCACAAUACCUACGAUGCCCUCAGCUCCUGGCGCUUCUGCAAUUGUAAAGCGAAACGGGUCUAACCCCAAGGGGUUGAUCUGUUGCAAGAAGUAAUGAGAUAUGAAUUGGUUAGGCACUCUGGGAUGCAAACGAAGUGUAGGGGGCCAAGCGUGGGGGCCAAUGCAGCAACCGCCGGUAGCUCCCCCUGCCGGCAGCUGUUGGCUAUGCACUGCGUCUUUGCGUGCGCGCUGCGGGGCUCAUGCCGUGGUGUCACCCAUGCCGCCCUUCAGUGCCACCACCUUGCCCCAUUGCCGCCCACGAGUUUGAUUGCUCGUAGACUUGGCUGCAUCUGCGGGGGCUUGGCUAGUGAGCCGCCCCGGUGUGCCGCUGCGACAGGUGCGCGCUGACUGCUUCUUCUUGGGUUCGCCGCGCCGCGGCAAAAGAGCGGCCCUCUCAGUCUACGGCACUCCCAUACCCUUACCUUCUCGGACAGCACAAAUGAAACAAUGGAGUUUGCAUCCCUCUGUGCUCCGGGGCGGAGUCGGAUGCUGUCGAGGGACGGCCCCUCAGGAGCCGGCGUUGGUUGGCUGGGGCGUGCCCGUACCAUUGUUCGCAGGCGCGUGGGCAUUUGCUGGCAUCCUCUGCCAAAAUAGCUAUGAGUCAGUAAGUUUCUACGCGCCAAGCAGUUGGCGGGGACAGGUGGGCCCAUCUUCCACUGCCGUCUCACGCAAGGGCAGCGAGCCACGGAGGCUUGAUAAUGCAAUUCAAAUUCUGCGUGGACCUUGGUUGGUGCAGGCCGCGACUGUGGAACUUCACGGGGCACGGGUACAUGCUUGAUGUACCAUUGGUCCAUUGCGGUCAAAUGGCGCGGACCCCUUGAUUGGCGUAUUGCACAGAGCCCUUACUCUGGGCCUCUGUCCUCUUGUCCACAUAAGCUGAGCUGUCCUUCAAGUGGGAGCGGACCAGAAGUUUGAUUGACACCAUUUCGUCAGUGACAGCAGCUCUGCAGCCUCACGACGUAACCAAUCUGGUCGUCAUAGUCACUUUUGCUUUGUAGAGUUCCAAGUGGGGUGAGUGGGCGUGAAGCGAGGAAGCGAGCGGCGCCCAGAACAGUCGCUUUCAUAGCUGCCUGCUGAUGAUGCUUUUUCUUUUAUCACUACCAGCUGUCUUACAUAUGCAUGAUGUGUGAUAGUUGGUCGUGCGGCCUCUAUUUGAGAGCCCUUGGAUGCUCUGACCCGCGCCCCUCUGCGGCUGCUCCUUUUGCAGUGUGUGAAGGAUGAACGCGACAGGUCUUUUGAACGAUGGCCUUGCCUCACUUGGAAUGAGCGGCUUUGGUGACAACCUCGCCUCCGGUCCUGCGCUUGUUGCUGCUGGAGGCGCUCUGGCGCUUGGCUACGCGCUGUGGGAGCAGAUGAAGUUUCGUUGGUAUCGUUCCGACAAGAACGGCAAUAUGCUGCCAGGUGCGUGGGUCGCUGAUCGUCAACCCGCUCCGGGCCCGCCGAGAAGUGCGUGAGAAGGGGCCCCCUGUUCGCGCAUCAUCAAGGAAACAUACAUAUAUGACACAAUUGCUUUCCUCGUUUCGGAAAGCCCAGAGAGCGGUGUCUGGGCACACUUAGUGUGGAUGUGGGGUCAACCACACGCGCGCGGUGACUCCUGGGCAGGGCCGGGCCGCUGACGUCGUGCAGUAAUGCUCCCACGCAAGGUUACGGUGUGGGAUUUGAACUUCAGCACAGGCCGCGCCAUUCGGGACAAAGUCUGACUGGCAGGUCAACGCUGGCAACAGUACCGGCCAGUGUACGGCCGUGUCAUACGCAACCCCGCCGGUUCACUGACUUGGACUGGCGCCGCUUGCAGGCCCCGCCAGCGUGACCCCCAUCAUUGGCGGUAUCGUGGAGAUGGUGAAGGACCCGUAUGGCUUUUGGGAGCGCCAGCGCCUUUACAGCUUCCCCGGCAUGUCCUGGAACUCGAUUGUGGGCAUCUUCACGGUGUUCGUAACGGACCCCGCCCUCAGCCGCUACGUGUUCUCGCACAACAGCAGCGACUCCCUGCUGCUAGCGCUGCACCCCAACGGUGAGCGGUCAGCACGCAUGCCACUCAAAUGUUCAAGAAGCACACUGUACGUUUCAGGGCCUGCCUGCGCAGGCUAGCCGAGUCAAGCUAGCAAAGCCUUCCGUAUUCAGCUGUGCGCUUUCUUGUUCACGUAUGCGUAGCUGAGUGGAUUCUGGGCAAGACCAACAUCGCCUUCAUGUCGGGGCCGGAGCACAAGGCGCUGCGCAAGUCGUUCCUGGCGCUGUUCACGCGCAAGGCGCUGGGGCUGUACGUGCUGAAGCAGGAUGACGUCAUCCGCAAGCACUUCAACGAGUGGAUGCAGGUGGGCGGCCGCCGGGUGCGGGGCGCGCACGGAGCCAGAGAGGUCAUAUCGGAGGGCGCACAGGGGCGGGGCACAGAUGGCCAGCUGACUUCUGGCGUCACUUGCUGCUCUUGUCAAAUUGCUGCAGACCGCGGGCCCUCGCGAGAUCCGGCCCUUCAUUCGCGACCUGAACGCCUACACCAGCCAGGAGGUGUUCGUGGGUCCCUACCUGGACGAUCCCACGGUGAGAGCCUUGGGCCGCGGCACGUGGGGUGAGGGGCAGUGCGACAGCGCCACUGGGGGCAGCUGAAACAGCCGCAUUGGUGGGCCGUGAGUGGCUGCUAUCUGUGUACAUGGGUCUCAAGUACAAGGCGUGGACAGAUUCCUGGCAAUUGCUGUUACGUAUUGGAUCCUGGUUCAACCGUGUAUUAACGCGGCAGCUAUUCCUAUCCAAUCGAGCUUUGCUGGAGGACCGCGGCUUAAGGGUUGCCCAACCUGUCAAUGCAGGAGCCCUUGACCUUGUGGCAGCACAAUGCCGGUCUUGUCACUCUCAAUCGUACGUCCGUUUGCAUUCUGAUGUCCACAGGAGCGCGAGAAGUUCUCAGACGCCUAUCGGGCCAUGACGGACGGCUUCCUGGCCUUUCCGCUGCUGCUGCCCGGCACCGGUGUGUGGAAGGGCCGCCAGGGCCGCCAGUUCAUUGUCAAGGUGGGCCGCAGGAGUGUUCACAGGGGUUACUGCGUAUGGCAGCGCAUGGUGGCACGGAGCCUAGGAAGGCGAUGGUUGCGGCUUUACGGGUCGCCUCCAAGAGGUUGUUUGGCAACCCCCAAUCAGUCGAUGCAGUUCUCUGCGCCAUGCUUGCAACCUGCUGUCACAGCGGUGCCUGAAUCAACGCGGCCCGCGUACCUCUCGCAUUGCACAGACGCUGACCCGCGCCGCCGCGCGCAGCAAGGUCCGCAUGGCCGCGGGCCAGGAGCCGGAGUGCCUGCUGGACUUCUGGACCAAGCAGGUGGGCGCGGCCCGCCCGGGUAUCACUUACAACUGGGCGCUCACGGAGUAGACAUGCACGGUACUCAGUCAGUGUGGAGGGAUGCGAAGCGCACGCGCGCUCUCCGAUGCCGGUCUGUGUUGCGCACGGCUCAUUUGAAGGUUUUAAGCUUGCAUGGGGUUGAGGGGUCAGUCAGUACAACAGCACAUUAAGCGCCUGGAGCAGCCAACCUCGCAUCUUUCCAUGUGCGCCCUGGUGAUCGCCCUAAUGCGACUAUUGCUCUGCGGCCAUCAUCUAUACAGAUUCUGUCUGACAUCAAGGACGCAGCCGACGCGGGCCAGGAGGCGCCCUUCUACGCGGACGACAAGAAGAUUGCGGAGACGGUGAUGGACUUCUUGUUCGCCAGCCAGGACGCCUCCACCGCCAGCCUGGUGUGGACCAUCACGCUCAUGGCGGAGCACCCCGAAGUGCUGGCGCGGGUGAGAGCUGGUGGCGGAGGGAUGCCAAGUGGAGGCGUAGCGGCGGCAAGGGCGAAGUCGUAAAGGGAGGGCACCUGACUGACGUAAUGCUUGCCCAGCAAGCUCCUGGCGAGUUGGGUGGUGGGGCAGUUGGUGCUAGUCGCGCGGGGUUGCGCGUUGGCACAUGGGCGUCUUUCUGACAUGUGCGAGUGGACUGGUCCGGCCGCCCUUCCGCUGUGUGUUCACGGCACAUGCUACCGGUUUGCUCCACUGCCUUGUUCAUUCCCUAACCCAACGGCCCGUUCUGCCCCUGCCCCUUUCAUCCUGCAUCCCUCAGGUCCGCGACGAGCAGUACCGCCUGCGCCCCAACCCCGAGGAGAAGGUGACUGGCGACAUGCUGAACGAGAUGCACUACACGCGCCAGGUGGUGAAGGAGAUUCUGCGCUUCCGGCCCGCGGCCCCCAUGGUGCCCAUGCGCGCCAAGGCGCCCUUCAAGCUGACGGAGACGUACACGGCGCCCAAGGGAGCGCUCAUUGUGCCCUCGCUGGUCGCUGCCUGCAAGCAGGUGGGCGCCGGGGCGGGUUGUUGCACCAUAUUACGAGGGGCGGUGUGGAAGGACUUGGAACAGGUCUAAGCUGUUGACAUUGGGCCGAGUUUCAGGAGUUGGAAAUGACGGUGCAGGCGGUCGCAGCCGCGGUGCGACAUACAGCCUUCCAACGGUACGGCAGUAGUCCUCGCGCCCAUGACUAACGCACUGCUGGCACGGUUAUACAUACACAGGGCUACUCGAACCCCGACUCGUUCGACCCGGACCGGUUCUCGCCCGAGCGCGCCGAGGACAUCAAGUACGCCUCCAACUUCCUGGUGUUCGGACACGGGCCGCAUUACUGCGUGGGCAAGGAGGUGCGUGCGGCGUAGGGCUGGUGCAAUCGUACUGCGAAGUGACAGCAGUCACCAGGACGCAACCUGCCGUUUUCCGGCUUGCGUAAUGAACUUGACUGCUGCAUCAAUGCUGCGGCCCCCCUCUCAACUGCCGCCUCCUCACUCGCCUCCUGCCUCCGCAGUACGCCAUGAACCACCUGACUGUGUUCCUGGCGCUGCUGGCCACCAGCCUGGACUUCCCGCGCAUCCGGUCCAAGGUGUCGGACGACAUCAUCUACUUGCCCACCCUGUACCCCGGUGACAGCAUCUUCGACCUCAGCUGGAGUGCCAAGAAGUAAGCCGCGGGCUAUCAUUGCUUGACAGACAGCUAGCGGCUAGCUGCAUGGAGUUGUGAAGUGCUAGAAGGCGAGGUGUCGCGGCAGGCAGGCGGCAGUGGUGUCUGGCGUUCGAGGUGCGGAUUUUGCAUUGUACCGCCGGGGGCAGGUCCUCUUUUGUUGUGUGGAGUUAGUGUGACGUUUUAAGGGUUUGCGUUGUAUGUAUAGCCUUGGAGCUGGGGGCAGGGGAAGGGGUUUGUUGUGCCCAUGCCCAUGUGCCCAUGCGACUGUAUGCGGUUGUUAUUUAUCCCCAGACCGAUUGCUAUGCGUGCACGCAUGUUUGUGCCUGCCACUAGUGGCUGCCUUGGGCUGGCUUUCAGUGUGCUCUUGUGCGUGACGAAAUGGAGAAACUCGUGCAUGUGCUGAAACCUCGAUGUUGUGGGGCCGUCCACGCGCUUGGGCAGUGGCUUAGCUGACAAUGCUGGCGAUAACGUUGACGAGUAUUUGUUAUGUUGUAUAGGCCCUGUUGACAAGGGCACUACAAGAGGAUACCGUAAAUUACAUAGCAAUGAUGAGCGGGCGCAGGCCCAUGAACCGGAAGGUGGCUGAUGCGGUUAAUGUUGGCUGUUGGUGGGCCGCUGUAAAGCAAUGACGACUGGAGGGCAUCCUACACAUGUAUCACAGGCCUAACAGCCCGCAGAACAUACGGUACACUCGAAUACUCCCCGCCCAAAGUAGUGGACCAGUCAGGGCAAACUGGGACAGUGUACGGUAUCCCCGUGAAGCAUGCGGGGAAGUCUGCAUGGCGUGGCUUGGCCGGGCGACCGAGGAGAAUGCAGUCAACAGGACAGUACCGUACCGCUACACUCGAUUGGUGAAAGACUGGCACUGACGUCAACUCCGCAACCGACAUUCGGCACGCGCUGGUGGAGAUGCUGCUGGGGCACAAGCGACCUGCAUCCUGCCCCUUGCCAUGUUCCAUUACGGGCAGCGGCGGCAGCGGCGGCAGCGGCGGCAGCGACGGCAGCGGCGGCGGCGGCCGCGGCAGCAGCGGGGGCGCGUGCGCGCAUCUUGGUAGCGGGGGCGGGCGGGAAAGGCCAUGUGGAGGAGGAGAGUGCAGCGCCGCCCAAGAAGCGGCGCAAGCGCGCAGGCUGAGGAGCCGGCUGGUGUCUAGGUAGCGGUCCGCGGUGGGGCUGGCAGGGCAUGCGUAGCGGCAUGACGAGUACAGUAGUGCGGCUGUUGACAAGUGUGCUGUCUCUGGCUGCGGUUGGCUCUGCUGUGGCAUCGCGAUUGCUAGGCACCUGGUUUGGCUAUGUGCCUGUGGAAACCGACCCCGGCUAUGUCCAGGCGACGAGGUUGUUCGGCCUCAGACUGUGGAGGGGCUCAGCCCCUUUUCCCGUGACCGGGGAACACUUGUCAAUCUGGUAAUUGCUAAUACCAAGGCACCGCCUGUAUAGGCGCAGUACGGUGAUUGUUUUUUGUCUGUGGGAAGCACUCCGAUGGCACCUUCGGAGGCAUUCGGAUCCAGUCUCACCAGUCACGACCUUGAUUCCCAGUUGCCUGCACACGGCUGCACACGGCUUGACUCUGCGCAUAUACCGUAGACACCGCGGCAUAUCCUUGCACUUCACAUUUGCACGUAGCACUAUAACACUGUAGGUGGUCUACACUAUAGCAUUCGGCUAUCUGUGAACGCCACACACGUCACGCAGUAAUAUGAGCACCCGACCGCUGCACCCUCAGCACAAGACUCCGCAAACCGCCCCUGGUCAACUGUACCUCUGUACUGAACAAGAAAAGGUGGCUCUCCCUUGCAAGGGAAAAGUGGGCUCGUCUCCCGGACAUCUCCAGGCAGGCAGGCAGGCAGGCAGGCACGGACAGGGGCAAUCCUGGCUGGCUUGGCCCCCCCUGGAUCGCUGGGGGGCUCAGCUCAAAAAACUAAAACAUCCAACCUCUUUACUGCAAAAUUUGCUAAGGCAAGCUCUGACCACUGACCACGUGCACGACGCAGGGUCGUGACAGGUGCUGGAGCUUACGCUGCAUCAAGCUAACUGCCCGCUGUCGCUGCGCCAGCCAGGACAACACGAAUCAGUUCACGCAGAUCAUCCGCACCUUUGCAGUGCCACGCCGUGUCGCAUGAGUACGGUUCCCAGGGUUCCUACCCAAAUCAUUAGUAACAGUUGGGACAUACAAUUUUUGCCUCGCGGCUCAAUAUCGUCCUUCCACAUCAAUAAAAGGAAUUUAUCAAGAAAAGUAAUCUCAUUUGGUCCUGGUCCUAUUGCAAGGCGUGCAGGUGGACGGACCUGCACGCCUUGGUCCUAUUGCAAGGCGUGCAGGUCCCGGAAAAGCCUUGCCUAAAGCUGUGCCGCAAGUAGCUAUCAAGCUGCGUCGGCUGCCAUGCCUAGCUCCUAACCAGGCUGCAUCAUGCCUACUGCGGCUGCUGGGGCCGUGCCGUCAUCUCCAAGACAACGUGGUCCGCCGCCGCGCUGGCCCCUGCGCCGCCCUCUGCCGUCGAGCUGCCGCCCACUGACGGCUCCGGCCGCCGGUCAGUCAUGGCGCCCGAGUUGCUGUGGCUGGUGUCGUGUGCGUCAGCGCCACCACCAGCUGAGUUGCGGCCAGCGGGCAUGAGUGAGCCCAGGGCCGCCAUGGCCAUGCGGGCGGGCAUGGCACGGCGCACCGCCGAGGCCGCUGAGGCGCCAGUGGCUGCUGCACUGGCCAGCGGCUCCUUCCGGUUGCUCAGCUUGGCUGCAGCCAUUGUGGCCGCAGCUGCAGCCGCAAAGCUCUUGCCAUCCCGCCGCGCCGAGCCGUUCCGCUCCACGGUGUGCUGCUGCAGUGGCACUCCCAGUUCCUCGGCCACGGUCUGCAUGUGGUGGACACGGGAGGGGGGUUGGCACGAUGUCGAAGGCAAUGAAGGCACUUAAUGACAUGAUUGGCCUCAUCGUUGUCCAUGCCGCUGCCUUAAGACUAGGCUGCUGACGCGCACGCCCUCGGACGCUUUACCUUAUUGUCGUUCUCAUGCUUGCUUUUGCCCUUGCUUUUGAUCAUCUUGCUCUUGACAACUGAGGACAUGGGUAAUGCAAAAGUUGUGAAACCAUGAAUGGCCAUGCUUUUGGGUGCAAUGUAGCAAUUUCAUGCUGUAAACGGUGCCCAUGCCUGUGCCCCACCUCACCCACACACACCACACAUUCGUAGGCCUAUUUGACAAUCUGAGCACCGGCAUCCCGUUUCUCUAUAGGCAUGACUCACAGUUCUUGACCACGCCGCCCAAUCGCGUGCGGCGCUUGGACUUGCCCGCCUCGCCGCCCAGAGUCUCGGCCGCAUCACGCAUCCGUUCACGCACCUGUGAGUUGAGGAUGUGAAAAGUAUUGUUAGUAACAAUCGCGGUAACAAUGAGACGAUUGUCACCCGCAGAGAUCACACACGUGUGCCGCCGCAAGGCCUGGCGGCCCUGCAACCCCACACAAGCGCGCCCCAGCCCCGCGCACCUCCUCGGCGAUCUCUUGCGCCUCCCGCUGCAGCUCAAACCGCUCCUCAUUCAGGCCGCCAGACUCCCCGGCAGCAUGAGCGGCGCUCUUGAUGGUCUUCAGCCGGUUCCUAAUUUCGCGCAGCUCAUGUAGCUUGCGCUCCGUCCAGGUUUGCAGCAGCAGGCGCCGCACAGCCGUGGUCAUGUACCUGCACGGUGCCGGGCGUCAUCUGAGUCGGUGGGUGAAGGCCCAGCAUGGAUAGUGCUGGUUUUGGACCAUCCCUACUCUCGCCGCAAGAGGCGCGGACAAAGGCUGCAUGAGGCGCCCUUCGUAUCCCUCUCAAGAUUCCAAAGCCCAGGCACGCACAUGGCCGAGUAGUACUGAGCGGCGUUGUGGGUGGGCGCUCCGUCAAAGUCAGGCGGGAUGUGGGGCACGAGCUGGUCGUGCAGUGGGUCCUCCUGGUCGGCGGGCACGUCUGUGCCAGCCACGCGGCCAGACAGUGCGUGAAGCACCUGGGUGCGGUGAGGUUGUGGCAUGGAAAGGGCUCAGUACACAGACAUCAAUCAUCAGCAGACGCAUAAGGCGUCAGCAAACACAACCCAAGGCCUGGCAGCCCAAGGUCCCAAGGCGCGCACCUCGUAGAACUGCACGCAGCGGCUGCGGAUGGGGAUAUUGGUGGACAGCACGAUCUCUUGCACUCGCAGCAUCUGGCUGUCCAGCUUCUUGACGCCAAGCGGCUUGGGCAAGCGCAGCAGCAGCGAGGUGAGCGCGGAGGCGGGGAUGAAGCCGGAGCCGUGCGGGUCCAGGUCCUCCCACACCUCUGUAAAGGUGUGCAGUGUGGAGGGGCCCACGGGCAGCUUCUCCUGAAAGGCCGUGUUCUGAAUGUUGUCAAUGAUGAUACCGAUGAUCAUCUGCACGGGGCAGGAAGAACGUGCAGAGGAAACGGGCGGUCAGGGCGGGGCGAACGUAUCCGUGACACAAGUUCACCUACAUGUACGUUGUAUCUGAAAACCCCUUGCAUGGGCCUGGUGAAAGCAAGCAGCGUGAAACGCUGCAGCCCAUUAGCAGUAAGCAUUUCCGCGCAUUGCUUUCCGAUUUCCAUGGGCCCGAAGCGAGGAAAUCAUGAUGCCGGGGCAGCCUUACAGAGCAGCCGGCGCCUGAAGGCGCCGACCCCCCAACACGCCCUGUACUACCGCCUGACCCCCACCUGCAGCAGCAUGAAUGUGAUGAUGAGGAUGUAGGAGAAGAAGUAGAUGAUGGCCACCAGUGGGUGCGGGCUGCACUGGUUGGUCUUGUAGUCCUGCGGCACGCCCUCAAGCACCGGGUCAUCAAAGUCGUAGAAGUCGCCCGGGUUUAGAACAACAGGGUCGCCAUCGGCAUUGGUAGUGUUGUAGGUCUGGUCGAUCCGCACACACUUAUCAAGCUGCAUGCAGUCUGCCAUCACGCCGUUCCUGUGGAUCGUCAGCGCAUUGGGAACGGGCGGGUUCAAGAAUGGUACACACGCCUGCGCCGCACACACAUGGGCACAGCCGCGCUAUGCAAACACAGUAGGAGACACGCACAACAACACAUACGCACGCACGCACAUGCACACGUGCAUCCACGCUGCGUGCAACGUUGACCGCGCUUAAAGCAAUCUGAUGCCCACGCUCAGCACGCAUUUUACAGAUGCCCUAAAUGACUUGCUUCCCCCCGGUACCCCAACAGUCUCUGUACGCCCCAUCUAGGCCUAGUACAGCUGGAACAAUUCAAGUACUCACCAGUUCUCUCCAGUCAUAAGCCUGCAGUGCAUGGAAGGAUAGGAUUGUAGUGGGGAUGUGGGUGAAGGCCGGUAGGUGGGGCGCAGACAACAAUGGGCACACCAAUAACUCAGGGGCCCAAGAGCUUCCCCCACUCUUUACAAUCACCUGAAAAGCGUCAGGAAUGCCAGCGGGAAGGUGCGGAAGCUCACGUACGGACCCAGUUCACCGGCGUUGUCCUCGCGAAUCAUUCCAAACAGGUUCAUGCCAAUGAUGGCGUAGCUGCGGCAAGGGAGCAGCUAGGACACGUAAAUGCAGGUGUGACAUGAUAAAAGCAACACAGUGGCAGUGGCUCCCGAGGAGCUCAAGCCAGCCACCUGCUGGCCCCACACUCACACAAAGAUGAGAAGGAACAGCACGGAUCCGACAUUGAUCAGGGCGGGCAGCGACCACCAUAGCGUGGUCAGCAGCGUGCGCAGCCCCUUGAAGCGCGGGAUGAGGCGGAACAGCCUCAGCACACGUAGUGCGCGGAUGAUGGGGAAGAAGGUGAACACAGUGUCCGUCGCAAAGUCCACAAUCACACCGCCGAUACCGGCACACACCACCUGGAAAAGUCAAAGUUGUAUGUUGUGCAUGAGAGCAAGUCGUUAGGUCCGAACCAACAUGCACGUAAACCGCUCUCUGCAGAUUCUCACCCCGCCACACCGCACCCAACCCCGCUCCAUCCUCUGGCGCACCGUGAAAUCGAAGCAAUUCCAGCCGCUCUUGAAGUAGCCGUGCACGUCCAGCGCGAUCCACUUGAGCAGCAUCUCUAUCAGGAACACGAUGGUAAAGGCCAGGUUGGAGUAGGACACAAUGUAGGAGAACGUGGGCGCCAUGUCGGCGUGCACCAGCAGCAUGAAGCCGAUGGAGAUGACCACGAUGACCAUGAUCACGUCCUCAAAGAUCUGGUUCUGGGUCACUGCGGGGCGGGAGUGGAGAAUGCGGCGGGGGCUAAAUGUUUAAGUGUGGAUAUACCUAGUUUUAGAGGUGUUCCUUACGUUGCAAACAUACAGCUUUAGGGGCCCCACUGGACACACCCAUGCCAUGUAGAGGCCGUCGCUUAUAACCCGACUCCCCGGUCCUGGGCACGUGCGAGGAGGGCUCAGGCAGAGCGGGAUGCUUCACACAAGCUGUGGCAUUACUACUCACGGUGAUAAAAGAAGGCCCGGAACCUAUUCUCGGGUGGCACGUGGCGCCUGAGCGCGCGCAGGUUGGUGAGCAUCUUCUGGGUGGAGACCCAUGCCUCCUGCUCAUCGCUCAUGUGCGGGUUGCCGCCGUUGUUCUCGCGCCGCAUCUGAUUGAAUUUGUCGAUGGACACACCUGGCAUGGGGGAGCGAGAGUAAUAAGACAUGAAUAGGUGGGGUGAGUAGGUGGGGUUUCAGAGGGUUGUCCAUGUGGACGAAGAGACCAGCUGGAGUGCAUGCAAGGGCCAUGUAAACAAGAAUACUGUUUUAGGCUGUGUCCAAGGAAGCGCUUUCAAACCCUUGGAAGCCCUGUGCAUGCGAUGCAAUCACUCACCAAUAACCAGGUUCAGCAAAAAGAAGCCCCCAACGAUGACAAAAAUCACAAAGAACAGGCACACGGCGGGCGAGUUGUUGGUUAUGGGCUGCUGGUAGACCUGCGUGAUGUCGGCGCCCGUGUACAUGACGUCGGACCAGGACUCCAGUGUGGCCACCUGGAAUAGCGUGUACAGCGCCACAGCCAGGUUGUCAAAAUUGGUGCUGGGGUUGCUCCAGGUGGUGGUGAUGUUGUAGGCCGGGGGGCUGGCCAGGUUCCACAUGGAGUGGUAGGCGCUGGUGUUGAUGAGGAUGUCGCCGCCGCUGGUGGAGUCGCACCAGUCACGGGUCAUGGUGGUGUUGCGGGGCAGGUAGUAGUCUGGGUCCAGAGGAGUGUCCACCUGAGGGGGACGCAAGGGCACAGUGGGAUAUGCGUAGCAAGAUGGAUAGAACGCAUCGUGUUUCUACGUGUGUGCACAGUUACCGUACGCAAACGGGUGCCAGCAAAUAUAGGUGCAGUGGCAGCGCUGCCAAUCCUGUCAUUGCCACAAGUAAGUAGCUCCCCAAGGCCACUCUCGCUCCCUUACAUCGUCCAUGCUGCGGCAGCUCCAGAACUUCCCUCCGACAAUGUUAAUUGCCAGGAUGGCGAAGAUGAAGUAGAUGAGCAUCGCCACCAUGAACACAUUGCCCAGGGCGGGGAUGGCCUUGAGCAUGGCGCUCACCACCGUGCGGAUGCCUGUGUGCAGUGGCAGUUGGGAUGGGUUGCAAACAUGGUACAGAGGAGUGUAGCGAGGUAGACAGCAGGCGUAGGGGCGCGCGCGGGCUGGGUGCAUCCUCGGCGCAGUUUGGGGGUAAAGAUCUAACAAUUGCAGACACUUUUGAAUAGUCGUGAGGUGUGGGUGUGGGACUCCCGCGUUCGUGCCCAACGGAUGGUCCAAGGAAGAGGUGGACAGAGAGGCGGUUGGCAGCAAUGAGGCAGCCGUAUCAAGGACGCACGAGGUGUAUCAUUCGCACGGGCUGUGCGGCAGGCGCACGCAUGCGCAGCAGCAGGCACAUGCAUUGCUCACCGCCUAGCCUGUUGGCCGCACGCAGCGGGCGCAGCGCCCGCAGUGUCCGGAUGGCCCUCAGCCACAUGAUGUUGACGCCCUUGCUGAGGCUGUCUGUGAUGAGCACCACCACACCCGCAAUCACCACCAGCAGGUCCAUCACGUUCCAGGGCGAGCGCACGUACGAGCCAGCGCCGUUGAACAUGAAGCCCGUCACCACAAUCUGCGGAGGGUGGGGCCGCCAUGUGGCAGUAGGGCACGGCAGCAAUGGUGGACAUGCCGUACAUGGUAUGCAGGCGCACUGCCCAGGAAGCUGUACACAGAUACCACACGUGUAGUGGAGCCCAAGCACCGGCCGUCGCGCUGCUGGGCUGUGCCCACCGGCGCACAAAGCCCACCUUCAUGAUUGCCUCCACGCCGAACGCGAUGGUGAAGAUGUAGUCCAGGAUGACCAGCGCCUGCUUGAGCUUGGAGGCGGGGUCCAGCUGCGGCGUGUCCAGGCACAGCUGGAUGGAGGACAGCGUGAUGAUGAACAGCAUCAGCGUGUCAAACCAUUUGGCUGUCACGAUCUGCAACACAGCAAGCAGCGGGGCGCGGGCGGGCAGUCAGCAGCACACAAGGUCAACCAGCAGAGCUGGGCGAUGAGAGGUGCACAUGUGGCAGCGCUACGGUAUAUAUCACAUGCACACAGCAGUACAGCAGGGAUUGCAGGCGCGCUCGGAGCCACGCACCCGGGCGAAGAAGCGGCGGAUGCGGUUGCGCGGCGGGAACAUGAACAGGCUGCGGCCCACCAGCAUGUCGCCCAUGGCCACAUCGGGCUUGGCCACCACUGGGUACAGCGCGCCGCCCGUCAACAGCAUGUCCGUGCGCCGCUUGCUGUGGAUGGAGGGCCAGGCAAUCAGCACAGGAGUUGAGCUUAGCUCCUAGCUCAGUGCCUAGGUGCAUUCGCACUAGCCCACAACCGUUCCCGUACUCACGGCCGCACAAAGCCGCGGUGGCGGCCCCCGCCUAGCUCCGGCGGCAGCACGCCCUUGCCCUCGCGCUCCGGCUGGCCGCGGCGCUUGAGCUCCUCCAGGUGGUUACGCAUCUUCUCGGCCUGCAGCCGUGCAGCGCAUUGACAGAAGUAAGCGCCCUGAUUUACAGUGUCGUGUGCGGCUUGCUGCAAUACAGUGUGGCUAGAUUAGGUGUUCGUCUGCCCACAGAUGCGACUUUGAUAUGUCACUUAGCCACCCAGUCACCGAACCGCUCACCUUGGCCGGUAGCCCGCUGCCCAUCUGCAGCAUUGCAUCCUGCGCCACGGCCGGCGGCAGACCAGCCGGGUAGCGUGCGCCUUCCUGCGCCGUCUUGAAGUCGCGUGUGGCGAACAUGUAGCGCCCGUCCUCACGCAGCAUGUACAGCAUGGGCACAGCGCCGGGCGCGGCGCCAGCAGCUGUCGCAGGCAGGUCGACCAGGCCAGCCCCGUUUGUGGGUGUGGUAGAAUGCACAUGGGCGAGAACGGCAUGCCUGUCUCCCUGCACGUGCUGCUGCUUGCCGGCGUCCACUACAUGGGCGGCUGCGGGGAAGGCGCCAAUCAGUCGCGAUAGGGGGGCUGGGCUGGUCGUGUCGUCCAACACCAUUGCUGCCUCUGUGGCGUUCAACCGCGCCGCCAGCUGCGCCAACACGGCCGCUUGCGCGGCCCGUUCCUGCUCCUGGCCAAUCGCAAUGGCGUCCGCGGUGAGCAGGCGCUGGUGCUCUAGGGGCGCGGGCCGGCUGAGUGGCACGUAGAAGGAGGCGCCGCCCAGUGCCAUGACGCCGGCCAGUGGGUCGCCCAGCGGCACCACCACACUGCCGUCCGUGCCGUUGAGCCCAGAGUUGGACUGGCGCACGGGCGUAGUGUUGUGGUAGACGGGGUUGUUGACCAGGCCACCGCCAGCCCCUGUGGAGUGGCGGUGCCUGAAGCCGCCGCCAUUCUCACUGUAGCCGCUCACGCCGUCGUAAGCGCUGAUCCCACCCUCACCACCGCUGUCCACACCAUGGCUGUGAGUGCCCUCCCUGCCGUGGCCCUUGUCCUCGCCUUCUUUGACGGGGGGCGCGCAGCCCGCCAUCGCACGCAGCCGGCUCCACAGGCUACCAAGCGCCUCCUUCCCAGUGACCGCCACCUUGCCGACCGUGGCUGCAGCCGCCACCUUGCCCAGAUCUGCUACCUUGCCCAACGCAUCAGCGGCCGCUGCCUCGGCCUUGGCUGCGGCCUUGCUGCGCUCCUCCUCCUCGGCCGCCUCCACAAUUUCAUCGAUGUCGCCAAAGUUGUCCAGCAAAAUGGCCAAGAACAGGUUGAGCACCAUAAAAUUGCCGAUGAGGAUGAGCGCCACGUAGAAGCAGGCGGCCCAGGGCGUGGUGGCGUGCAUGGCGGCGUGCAGCGAGUCCGCCCAGUUAUCAAACGUCAGCACCUGAUGGGUGCGUGGGUGGCAGAGUGAGGAAACACACCCAACCCGUCAGGGUUUCAGUGCAGCACGCCAGCAACCAAGUAAAGGCCAAGGUGUAAAUUAGGUGCGCCAGGCGCCAGGUGGGCAGCGUUGCCCGCCUCUUCCUCCCAGGAUUGCUCACCUGGAACACGGUGAUGAAGCCCUGGAAGAUGUUGUCGAAGUUGGCGCGGAUCAGGCUUGGCUUGCCCACCUGCGCCAUGUAGGUCAGCGACGUGUAGUUGUACGAACCAAACAGGACCGAGCCCAGGCCGUAGAGGUCCGCGCCCAAAGCCACGUCAACGUCGGUCAAGUUGGCCGCGGACAGGUUGGGGAAGAGAGUCGUGUUGUAAGGCCAUGAUGCGUUGGUGAAGAUGGCCGUCAAAUUGACGGUCGCCACGUACGGAGUUGUGGGCUGGGACUGAGGGAAGGAGUCCACAUCAAGGGGUGGAUACCCGCUAUUGACCGCGUCAAGGUAGGCACCCGCAAGCGCCGCAAGCGUGUCAUUGCCUCCACCCAGCUCGGGGCUGCUCAUAUUGCCGUGCAGCUCGGCGCCAUUGGUGGCCGGCUCCAACAGCGCCGCCACAGCACGUGCCACCGACUGGUUGAAGGGCGCCGCCACGUCGGGUGCGUACUGCCGCGGGAACACCUCGCACGUUGCCUGCAGUUGACAGCAGGUUACAGCAGUCCGAGACUGUAGCAAACGAGGCCUGCCGCCCACAACACAGACAGGGGCGCUCACAGGUCCAGGGCCAAGAAUGCCCAGCUCCUUUGGUCAAAUGCGUGGUGCUGCCCCUGGACCCACUUACCACGUUAUUGUAAGGGCUGCCGUCCGCAGGAAUGACCAAGUUGGCGUUUUGCCAGUUGCAGGGCAAGUAGCAGUCAAAGUGUGCGGGGCAGGUGGCGAGGUCAUUGGAAGGACAGCUAGCGGUGCUGCCUUCCACCGAGUCGCACACCGCCAUGGUGUAGCCGAACAGCUGCAUGCCGAGCAGACUAAAAAUGAACAUAAACAGCCUGAAGGGGGACACAUGAAGGGCGGGGGCGAAGUCAAUCUAGAAUGCAAAAAAGGAGCAUUAGUUGGCACAUGUACAUGUGUCCCGAGUGCCAACCACUCACAGCAGUAGCAUGGUCAGGUAGAAGGUCUGCUUCACAGACGCCAGCAGAGUUGAGGUAAUGGCCUGUUUGGGUGAAGGUCAGGGGCGAUAGGACCAAGCAGCCACGUCAAGUGCAUUCGAAUGCCAGCUACAUCCACUCAGUCGAAGCCUCGGCCUCUCUAAGUUUGUUCAGGGCGGUUUGCAAGUGGGACGGACUUGUGCGUGGACCUGCUCAUGCGCUGCACCUACGUAGAGGCUCUUCCACUGGCGGGACAGGCGGAACAGGCGCAGCAGGCGGAACACUCGCAGGAUGGACAGCGUGUUAGCUAGCUUGUUGUCCACGGUGGGGAUGAGCUCGAUGAUCAUCUCGGCGGUGGUGGCAGCGUUCACGACUGCAGAAGAAGGGUGCCAAGAGGGGUAUGGGGGCAUGUGAAAUUGUUUGAAAGCACUUUCCUGAAGCUGUAAUCUCACCGCCCUGCCAACCCCGCCAGCGCCACCAGCGCCCGCACUCACUCAUGUCCAUUAUGUUCAUGCCAUCUGUGAAGUACAGUACACCCAGGCCCAUGAGCUUGAUCACCUACAAGCAUGGCAAACAGGAAGCAUGCAGGCUUUCCGAAAUGAAAUGCAGGCAAUUUCAACGUGUACCGCCAUCCAACGCACAAUACGGAUCAUGCCCGUUGCUCUGCCCGAAGUCCUUCACCUUACCAUGGCCCUUCUCCGACCUACCAUCUCAAUGAUAAAGUAGAUGGUGAAUGCGUAGUUGGAGAUGUCGUUGAAGCGGUCCAGCGCGUACGGCAUCUCGUACCACUGCAGCGCCAUGAUGAUGGCGUUCAACGCAAUGACCACCAUGGACGCCGCGUCCAGCCGCCAGUCGGACGUGACCCAGUAGCACCAGUUGCGCAGGGCCGAGCAGCUGCGGUCGGCCUCGUAGCGCUCCUCACGCUUCUUGCCCGCAGGCACGUGCGCGGUGCAGCAGCCGUCGGGCCAGGGCCCGUCGUCCGUCGACGCCGUGUCCAGCAGGAGGUUAGGGUUACCUGCCGGCGCGGCAUCCGCGUCCCUCGCGCCCGUCUUGCUGCGGCACAUGGAGGGCUGCUGCUUGGCCGGCACCCUUUCGGAACCGGCUGUAGCAACGCCAGCGGCACUGUGGCGCAGGGCUUCACCAUUGCUGCUACUGCCAUCACUGCUGUCGUCAUCCUCUUCAACCUCCUCCUCGAGGGCCGCCGCGGUUGCCUCCAGUGCACGUGAGGCGGCCAGGCUGCUACCACGGUUCGCCGCCAACAAAGCUGCGCGCCGCAGAGACGCCAUACGGCCUGAGCUGUUGUCCUUGCUCCAGCUCCAGCCCAGGCUGGAGCUAGGCGAAUGGCGGGCGCUGCCAGCGGCGAAGCUGCCCAGAGCUCCCAGUGCAGGGUUAGCGGCACUGGCUGCCGAGGCACCAGUGGAAGCACUGGGAGCGCCGCCAGCCCGGGAGUUUCCGGCCUUGUACCCGCUGCCGCCCACCAGGCUCCGACUUGCCAUGGAAGCGCCGUACAUUGGGGCAGUGACGCUUGUGACACCACCGCGCGCCCCAGAACCGCUAAACAUGCCGCUGGCGCCCACCAGCUCAUAUGCAGUGCAGACGGAUCGCUCGUCAUAGUCGGCGGCCUUGAGGAACUGCGGCACCUCGUACUUGCGCCGGAGCGUCUCGCUGUCUGGGCCCAGCGCCACCAGGUGGGGGUGCUUUUGGCCCCCCAGCUCCUUAGAGGGCUGCAAAGGAGGUGCAUGGGCAUGUGGUUGUAUGUGUGUUAGAUAGCACAUGGCAAGGAGUACACAAGAUCCAUGUGUGUGCGUGCGUGUGUUUGGAAGGGGCUUGUGCAGGAGCGACAUGUCAGCAUCGCUGGAUGACGGAUCGAUCUAUGUGAGGAACAUGGUAGCUGGCAGUAUCCCCGCUUCACCACAUCCACCACCGGCCCCCUGCACUGCUUACCGGAAAGUCAUCCAAUUCAUUCAGGUGCUGGGACGACUCGGUACGCUUCAGCUUGUGGCCGCCUGGGGUGGUGCGCUCCUGCGCCUGCCACUGCCCGCCCUCAACGGCGUCCAGGCCAUCCAGGGGCUCAUCGUGUGCCGCCUUCAGCCGGGCCAGCUCGUCUGCCUGCAGGCGCUUCUGCUCAUUCCGCUCCCUGAGCUCCUUCUUCUUGAGUGCGUCUGCAAGCCGCUUGUCCUCCUCUUCGCGUCGGGCCUCUGCGGCAGCCUGCAUUCAGGACGGCGAUGCGCAGUAUGUUGUAUGUUCGCACGUGCUCAGCACCGGCUGCUGUCCUGCUAGUGACCCCCUUGGAACACUUCCUAGGCAGUCUGCCGACUGCCCAUGUUCUGCCUGCAAGUGCAGCGGUUCCCACCCUACUUCCGGCCCCGCCACGCACCAGCCUCUUCUGCUCCUUGUCCUUGCUGAACUGAAGGUACAGCACGGCCAGCGCAAGGUUGAGCAGGAAGAAUGAGCCGAAGAUGACCAUGGCCCAGAACAACGGGAACACGCCGGGGUUGAUGGCGUUCAUGCAAUCGUACAUGCUGAACGACCAGUCCGUCAACGUCAUGAUCUGGAACAUGGUCAGCCAGGCCCACACGAUCUGUACACGGUCGACGUAGGUUGUGGUAGGGACAAGUGGGGGAGGAGGGAAAACGGGAUGUCAGGAUGAGCCAGUCACAAAACCAUUGGCUGGCAUUAUGGUACAGUCGAGCCCACAUGCUACUUGCCACCCAGCACUACGAGCCAAACAGUUACCCGCUGCGGAAGCCAUUCAGGCCGCCUGCCAGGCUAGCUGCGUACUCACGUGGUCAUACAUACGGUAGCCGUCGCCCGGGUUUUGGAACGGCACACACCACUGCGAGGGGUCGCUGCACCAGAAGCCGCCAUCGCUCUUGGGCUGGCCCGUGUAGCUGUCCCAGGUGCACCACCCUGUGGAUACAUAAUACGGUAAGCAUGCGGCAGGAUCCUGUAGAUAGGUGCAAUGCAUAUUUACCGUAUACGCAACCCAGCAUUCGCCAUAAGCAUCAAGCCCGAGCGCGGUACUUGACCGUUGUCUUAACUGCUACGUAACGCCCGACUGAUUUCACUCCUACUGCAUGUACAUACCCAGACAUACCAGUACUCCCCGGCACUCACCGUCGGUCUCGUUGCAGCUGCCCACCCAGGAAAGCGAGCCUAGGUUGGACGGCACCGGGCCGCGGCACACCGUGUCUGCGUCGUCGUCGGCCACCUGCCAUUGGUCCCACAGCCCCGUGCUGGUGAACAGGGACAGGCUGGCGCUGGGGUCGCCGUAGGGCUCCCCGGUGAAGUUGCGUCCGAGGCCGUCAACGAGCGCAGUCAUGGGCAAAGUGCCGCACCUGCACGUGUGUUUGGUUUGGGCAUCAUGUAUGAACUGGGGCCAUGCAACCACGUGAUUGCCAGCUGCUCGCGGCCCACCAUAAGCAGCACAACCGCUGCCACCGCUCCCCUUCCUUAUCACCCGCAAUCGCUUGCCCACAUGCAUGCACGGACCUGCCCUUCAGCGAGCCUGCGAAGAUGUUGAUGUUGAUGGCGCCGAACAGCACGAAGUAGAACACGGCCAGGAUGACCACGUCCAGCAGCAGCGGAAUGGAGUUAAGCAUGGUGUCCACCAGUUGCUGUGUGGGGUAAGAAAACGCGCGUGGGGGUAAAGUUGAAGGCGCACAUGCCGAUGUGGGUCGAGGCAGACAGCCACCCAGCUACCCUGGAAACCAGCCCCCAGCAGCACCACCAGUCUACAGCCCACCGUCGCCGCAGUUCUCAAGACCCCACCCGCACCUUCAUCUCCUGGAUCUUGUUGAUGGACCUCAGCGGCCGCAGCACCCUCACGCAGCGGAUGAGUGUGUAGUUGCCGCGGCCCGACAGAUCCAGGUAGCCCAGGCCCACAACCACAAAGUCUAUGAUGUUCCACUCUGGAGAAACCAAGCGGCAGAGUAAGGGGUGCAGGCUCUGAGCAUGGAGUAGAGCGUCUCACAUACGGCGCCUCCAAACAUGCGUUUGCCACCGCCGCACUAGCGCACUUCCAUUUGCCCAAUCCACCCAUGCCCCUCCCUGCUCCGCUCCCACACCAUGCGCACACUCACUGUCUCGAAUGUAGGAGCCCUUCCCGCGGAUGAAGCCCAGCGCUAUGACGCGGAUGAGCAGCUCAAGCGUGAAUAUGCCCAACCACACAUACUCGCUGAUGCGCAGGUUCUUCCCCAGCCGCGUGCUCUCAAAGCCCGGCUUCCCAGGGGUGGCCAGCGCCAGGGUGACGCAGUUGGCCAAAAUGAUAGCCAGCAUGAACCUGGGGACAGCAAGGCAAGGCGGGACGGGCAGGGCUCAGCCCAGCCGCGUGGUAAUGACUAAAGUUGGCAAGCACAAGCCAGCCGCUCACACAACCUAUAAAAUGAGCGGCCUGACUCUGUGUCCCCCCCCCCCUGGUUGGCUUGGUUUGGUUUAAUUUGGGCUGGAAUUUACAACCCCCCCCCCCUCCUCCCCACCCUGGGUCUUAGGACAACACUAUCUCCCACAACACAACCCUCAGCCCCCAGCGGCCCACACCCACCACUCGAACAGCUUGUGGGAGGCUAUGUAGACACACGCCUUACGCAGCUCGUUGUCCUUGGGGAACAUCAUCAGCGAUUGUUCUGAAAGCUCACGUGUUAGCACCUGGCAUGAAGGGUCCAGACCGCAGGCGGGUUAGGUGCACACGAUGUAAAGAGAGGCAAUAAUCAGAGGGCUUGCGUUAAUGUGCAGCCUGUACAUAUGUGCCUUCUUCUGUCAUAACCUUUCGGGUACUGACACAGAACCCGCCUACUAGCCGCCUACAGCCCAGCCCCGGCGCCGCGUCUGCACACACUGCUGCCACUUCAGGUGACCCUGCUGCCGCUCACCUCGUACUUGCGGGGUUUGAUCUCCCGCUUGAUGUCCACCCACAGCUCCAUAGCAGUGCGCCUGAAGCUGAAGUCCUGGUCCUCCUCACCCUCUCCUUGCUCCUUAUUCUUUUCCUUUCGCUUCCCUUGCUCGUUGUGGUUGCCCUUGCUAUCAUCGCCUUUUCCUGCCUUGCCCUGCGCGACUGCACUCUUGCCCUGUGUGUGGGCGACCACAGGCACGGGCGUGCCCCUGGCAACCCCGUUGUGUCCAGGUCUUUGCAGCUCUGUGGAUUCAUCCAGCAGGAUGCCCAGCUCGCCGGACUGCAUCGGGUUUCCGCCGUUGGGGCGUGCCACAGCGUCGGGGCCCACCUCGUCCAUUGGCGCCCCGUUCAACUGAGACCGAAGCCCGGAAGCGCCGUUCUGCUGCCCAUCGACCAUGUUAUCUUCUAGAUGUCUAUGGACCUGCGACGCACAAGACAUCGUUGAACAGAACUGAGGCCCGGCGCAUGCCCGGUGUCAGAGUGUGCGUCCUCUUCCAUUAACCAGACAAUUAUGAAUGUACAUGUACGGCUCUAUGUUGAAGGCGCAAAUGCAUCCGCGUCAAGCACCACAAAACACACUUGUGAAAUUGCACACGAGGGGCCAGUCCGGACUGCGCAGGAGUUUGUUGUUGCAGCAAGACACAUCCAAGUGGUUUCAUCAGGUACCAGCCACGACUAUAGUCGUGGGGUCCACGACUGCAGGCAUGCGGAGUCGGCUUUGCGCCAAACGACAAACAGUAGCCAGCGCGACCACCCAUCUCCUUCCAGAAAUCAUGUGAUGCAGUAGUUUUCAUAAAUCCAGUCAGCAAACGCUGCUCUCACACUCAGCCACAUUGCCAUGAAGUGAACUCUUACCAGGCGGCUGGGCGCGCUCCCGUUAGCAGCUGUCACACCUCAUUGUAACACGUGGAAUUGUCGAGGGUCCCACCAGCCUGAUGUCGCGACAGACCUAGCGGUGGUCUAGUGCGGAGUCACUUCAAAGUUGCUGUACUAUGUCUUUAUUGGCCAGGUUACGCCGCUUGCGUAUCCAAUCUAUAAACUGCAUCAGAAUAAAAACGUGUUUCCCCUGACAAGCAGCAGCGCGCAGAGCCUGAAGCCUCAACACAAGCCUGCGCUAUCCUACAGCAUCAAAUGUAUGAGCUACGUUCUAACAAACAUGUACAUGGUGCGGUGCGCUUCGUCCGGUACUGACACUGCAGCAGCAAAGUUGCAGUCGUCGGCUCAUGCAGCGCCCGCCAGACAGCCUAGACCGCUCUGGUGAAAGAGCCGUGCUGCAACAUAUGCAUUUCGAAAAGUGACGUCCAUUGUCUAUACUCAAAUGUCCCUGGAAGGUGUGGACCACGGCCAGUGCCCGUUGUGCAGUGGAUGGCGACGACAAAUCGAGGAUCCCCGGCGCUCCGCUGGCGCACACACGCAGGUGGCUGCAGUCCUACCUUGCGGGAGUGCCCACGUUGGUGCUCGGCGGCCGGGACCGAGGCGGCGUGAUCAGGGAGGUGAGGCAGCCAGGAGGUGUGGGGGGUUUGCCGUCCGUGAAAGGCGGCGUGAAGGAAUGACAGGUUUCAAGUGCCAACGUCAAGUGGGAACAGCGGGUUAUCAGGGAGGGCAUGUGGGGGGGGAAGGGCGGCGGCGGGGGUGAGUACGACGAGGACGAGGGGUAUUAGGCGGAGUGGCGGACGAAGCGGCGGCGGAGGGGAACCGUACUAGGCGUGUGAUGGGACGGUGUGUGAUGGGACAGUGGCAAGGCAGGUUGGUAAGGUCCCUUAGGGCGCAGCUAAUUCCCAAACCCAACAAAUGGCAAACAGUUGGCAGAGGCAGGGCAAGAGUGCGCGGCUGGUCUAACGCCGGAGUUACUGUACCGACGAGUUGCUGGCUGGCUGGAAGUUUUGCUGACGCGCAUUCCUCACGCUCCGGGCGCCCGGCCAGGCGAUAGCACCACACAGGCGUGUGAUGGGACGGUGGUAAGGCAAGUUGGCCAAGUCCCGUAGGGUGCAGCUGAUUCCCAGAACCCAACAAAUGGCAUACAAUUGGCAGCGGCAGGGCAGGAGUGCGCGGCUGGUCGAACGCCGGAGUUACUGUACCGACGAGUUGCUGGAUGGCUGGAAGUUUGCUGACGCGCAUUCCUCACGCUCCGGGCGCCCGGCCAGGCGAUAGCACCACACAGAUACACCGCAACGCCACACUCGCGAGGCAGAGCCGCAUCGCACCUGCAGGAAGGUGACCAGCGUCCACGGAUGAGCACGAGAGGCAGCCGCAGAGAAAAUGCAAACGGAAUGCAGCAAAGCAAUGGCCGGGCGACAGUGUGGCAAGCAGGGGCACAGACAGGGCGAGGCAAGGCAGAAGAGGGCGCCCGAAUGUACGGAUGAGUGGCGGGCGAGUCGAAUGCAAUUGCGAGACAAACACAACCGGAGUGUGAGGAAGCGCCGCGGGUUGGAAAAGGGAAUGCCGCGGCUGAUAUUCGGGGCAGAGCUGUGUCGCGCGCCCUAAGGACCGAGUGCGGUUAGCGGAAACCGUACUAGGCGGACGAGGAGGAGGGUGGGAGAAAUGGGAGAAUCAUCAUAAGGAAGAACUGUGGACCGGCGAGUAACAUAUACGGAUCGUGGAGGGCAGGGUGUCGAGGGUGCCCGAGCCGUGCCGAGACGUGCGGAGACCGGAGCGUACCUGAAGUGUGCACCAAGGAUGUGCCGGUAUCGAUGCGGCUGUACCCUAUGGGGUGGUCACGCAUAUGCUGUUGGGCUGCGUGUGAAGCGUGAAAGCCGCACGGCGAUCUCCGUGCCAAGGUCGCUGCCCUAUAGCAGCAUUGCAGCAGCAAGGUACAAGAGCAUACUGGGACGUCCCUUCUUGUAUUGUCGCAUAACUCGCAUUCUUGAAAGAUGGGACAGGAUAAGGUUGGCGUCGUGUUCGGGGCAAGGGUGUCCUGGAGCGCCUUUGCCGACUGCCAGCGCGCGUGCGCAAACUCAACUUCAUAAAUUCAAGCGAGUAAAGAGAAAGGGUAAGAGCGGAGGCAUGCGGCUGUCAUGCAUUAAUGUCGAGGGCAGGCAAGGCCGCAUUUGCGCAUCCCCGGGUGAUGCCCACGGCGGGCACGUAACGCGCUGAUGGGGGAGGGGUCGCAUUUGUACCCAACCUUACCGUCACGCAUUAGUUGACGGCAAUAUCUCGCGGAUACAUCAUCCCCCCACAAGUCUCAGGAAACACCCCUCCGACCGAAUUCUCUGAUUGACACACCGCCCAUUUCGACGUGCGUUGCGGAACUCAUGCGUACGUAGACCAGAGCGGAAGGCGGAGUGGGCUUGCAGGCAGCACGAGAGCAGGCAGUCAGUAGUAGCGCAAGUUGCGAAUUCAUAUGUUACCUCGAAACCGACGGUAAAGGCCGCGAACGGCCGGGCCCAUGGCUGGCUGACGGGAGGAGGCUGCUGUAUUGGGAUGGCUGGGCUGGGCGACGGCUGGCGGGCUGGCGUUGGGACUACCAGAAAGGAUGCGCCCGAAACCAACCUGGAGAACACCAGCGCCACCGGUGCCCAGCACGACAUGUAUGGGAGGGAGGGAGGGACAGGAGGCGUGAUGCACUGCAGCGUAGAAGCUAUGGCGCUAGGCGCGGGGCAAGCACACCACUACAGGCACCGCCACGGCAUUUUCAUCUCCUCCUUAUGCGGGGGGGCCCUCGGGCUCCCCCCGCAGUCCAGGCGCCGCGCCCCACCCGCACGGAGUGGCCUGCAUACAUCCAGUGACGGGGCCGCCUCCGCACCAAGGCUUGCAUCUUCCAGGGGUAGGCCGCCACCGCUGGCGAGAAGGGCGCUAACCACGUUAUAUCGUCCACGGCAUCCACGACCAUAUGCAGCCCCACGCGGCGAGAAUGCACCCCCGGAAAUGCCCAACCCUUCUCGCCCGAGGGCCUGCAUUGGGGGGCGUUUCUUGCCGCUCCCUAAAGAUGCAAGCCCUGCUUCGCCCUACGCGUUGAUGACCACUUGAGGUGAGUUAGUGGGGUGUGCGAUGGCUAUCGGCCGCCGAAGCGGCCUCCCCUCGUCGACGGACUUCCAUCCUGACGGCAUGUGUAUCACAAAGCUGCCAACCAGGGUCCGCGCCUGCGUCCUCCACCAGUCCACCUCCACCUCCCCCGCCACCCGCAUCGCCGCCAGCAGUGGCACCGCCGUCACUGCCACGGCCCUGCACGCCCCACCCCAUCACACUUUCUCUGCCGGCGCUCAUCCGUGGACGCUGGUCGCCUGUCUGCAGGUGCUCUGCGCUUCUGCGCACACGCACGUACAUGCACGCACGUGUGGGUGUGUGUGCGUGUGUGUGUCUGGUGCUGUCACCUGGCCGGGCGCCCGGAGCGUCAGCAAACUACACGCCUGCCCAGACGCCAGCGAUGUUUCGGUGCAGUAACUCCGGCGUUAUACCAGCCGCACAACCGCCUUGACGUUGCAACUUACAUGCCUUGACGUUGCAAAUCACAUGUUGGGGUCUGGAAUACGCCACACUACGGGACUACGCCAUUACCCUGUCCCAUCGCACUGGCCCAUCACACUUUUAUUUGUUAAGUGUGGUUCCGCUAUAGGAAACCACACUUACUAUCUGUUACAUGUGAUCUUCUCGUGCAGACCAUGAUUGAUCGCAUGGACGGGUUGGCUGCGCGUUACUGUUUUCACGUUCUUUGCCUGCGUCCACCAAAAUGUAUGCCCAAUCAACGACUUUAGCAGUGUACAUUCAACACCACUAAGUAUACAAAACGCAAGGCAAAACGGGCUGCUCGAAGUAAGCGCUCAAGGUCACGGUCACGAUUGAGUGGCCUAUUUGCCGGGCGCCUAGUAAUUUUGGUUCCCGCUCUACACGCUUCCUGUGCCUCUACUGAUGGUUCCUGUGACCAAUGACGAUAAAUAGCAUGCUAUAUCGCUUGUAAGCGAGGCGCGACGAGCUCGGGCGACGCCAAUCGGGCUGCCGGUGCGGAGCCCAUCCAUCCACCACCUUACGCGCCGCCUUUCAGCAUGCUAUCUGAUAUUUGUGACAUAUAAUUGGCAUGUGAACAGGCCCUGCCACUAGCUGUGCGCGCGCUGGCCCAGGCAUGUCCAUGUGCGUGCGCAUGUCCCGGCUGGCACUGCAAGGGGCGUCAAAGGACUUGUAGUGUGAGGUAGUCAUGCGCUGUAGUCGUGUAUGCGUCAGGGAUACAGCGCAGUGGCGGCAAGCCAGGGUGGUCGGGUGGAACCCCACGCGCAGGUGGAAUGCAGGGGGUGAAUCAGGGUGAAUCCCCUUGCACCCCUGUCAAAACCCAUAGGUGCCCAACGCAACCCCAGCCCUUCGGGGUGAAAUUAUUUAUCCACUGCUUGUGUACGCAACAUAAGUGAUACCAUUUUACCAGUGCUUGUUUGCUGUAGAGUCCACCUGAACCGGGCUGGGGGUGAAAUACCACCAUUUCACCCCGUGUCAUUCACCAUGGUUCCACCUGCGCGUGGGGUUCCACCCGACCACCCUGGCUUGCCGCCACUGCGCUGUAUCCCUGACGCAUACACGACUAUAGCGCAUGACUACCUCACACUACAAGUCCUUUGACGCCCCUUGCAGUGCCAGCCGGGACAUGCGCACGCACAUGGACAUGCCUGGGCCAGCGCGCGCACAGCUAGUGGCAGGGCCUGUUCAUAUGCCAAUUAUAUGUCACAAAUAUCAGAUAGCAUGCUGAAAGGCGGCGCGUAAGGUGGUGGAUGGAUGGGCUCCGCACCGGCAGCCCGAUUGGCGUCGCCCGAGCUCGUCGCGCCUCGCUUACAAGCGAUAUAGCAUGCUAUUUAUCGUCAUUGGUCACAGGAACCAUCAGUAGAGGCACAGGAAGCGUGUAGAGCGGGAACCAAAAUUACUAGGCGCCCGGCAAAUAGGCCACUCAAUCGUGACCGUGACCUCAAGGAAAUGACCGACGAGUCUCCGCAGGCCAGCACCGGUGGCAGUAUAAUGCCUGAGGCGGAAGAGGAGAAUCCCAGCCCUGAGAUGCAGGGCCGGUCGCUGGCAGCCCCCAAACGGAGAGGCCUUGCAGCGGCCAUGGUGAACCAAGCCCGAGGCCGUUGGGGCCGGGCCAAGAACAUGCUGCUGGCUGCUUCCCGGUGAGUGCAUCGCCCUGACAUUGGCAGAGGGUAGACCGGGAAGGGGUGAUAUGGGGGCAAGGAAGUCCUGUGCGUCAGUAUGCGGCGCUACCUACGUGCCUGCGUUGGCCAGAGAAACUGGCACGUACACGCGCACGCAGACGGGGAUGCACGUCUGCACAAUGACGUUCACUACAAGGCGCAGCCUCUCUGCAAUUAGUUGCAUCUUACAACCGCGUGUGAGCGUGGCUGCAGGGUACGGCGGUUGGCGCUGGCGGACAACGCUGACUUCACACGGGAGAACACACAGGCACUGGAUGCGGUGAGCUGGGGAUGAGGGGUGGGACUCCAGCCUGUUUGAGUGGCCUGGGUUAUCGUUGGGCUCCACUUGGUGGUGGGGAUGGCUGUGGGUUCUGGCUCCUGGGAUGGGACCGCUGCCUUGCAUACGGCACCGCACGUGGGGCCGUCGGGUGCCCCAUGAGACGUUGUUGCAGCAAGUACGCCCCGACCGUCCCCACGCCAUGCGCCUCGCCUCGCACUGAGCCAGGCCGUCAAGGGUCACAUCAACGUGGUCCUCAACGUGGAGCAGACGCGCGACCUGUCCUCCAUCAACUACGCUCAGCAGGGCAACGCGGCCAUGUACACGCCCGAGGUGGGGACUGGGGAGGCCUGGGCGCGUGCGGCUGUUGGCGGGGUGCUCCAGGAGCGUGGUAGUGGGAGGCGCAUUGGCUGCGUGUGUGGCUGUGUAUAGGAAGGGCGGAGAACGCAUUAGGUCAAUCACGUCCCGGGACGCAGAGUUAGCCCACAUCAGGGGAGGUGUUGCUUGCCCAUUCCCAAUAAGAGAACAUGAGACGGGGUGAAUGGUGGGCAUGCGAGCCGCUGUAGGGUAUACAGUGGACCACACGCGCCUCGUGUCGCCACGUACCCACAUCCAAGACCCACAUGCUCGCUCCCGCGGCACACAGGUCAUGUCCAAGCGCCACUCCAACCGAACCGACACCAGUCUCAUUGAGGUGGUGCGCCACUGGUGGCGCUGGCUGCCCAAGGCCGAUCAGGAGGUCAUGGAGGUGGCGCCCGCAGCCCCGGACCUCGGGCGGUCCGCGGCGGUGCGGUUCGCGCACGACUCGCUUCCGCUGCCGGAGCCCACUGCUGCUGCCAAUGGCGGGGCGGACACGGCUGCUGAGGCCGGGAGCGUGGGCGCAGGGGCCGAGGGUGCAGGAGCCGAAGGCGGCAGCCGCACUCUGCAGUCGCGUAUGUCGAUCCACACCCGGCUGGACGGCGGCAGCGGCGGUGUGGCACUGGACAGUGGGGAGGCAUCAGCAGGAGGAGGUGGCGGGGGCACGGUGCUCAAGGUGGCAGCACUGGACAGGGCCAUAUACAGCGCCAUGGUGGUGGCCAUUACCAUGGUGCGUGUGUGGCAGGUGGUGGCCAUUUCACCUUUCCUAUGCGGGGAUGCCUGGGGCUGCAGAGUCUGAGCCUGUGGGCGGCGGGGCGCUUGGGGCUGUUGCAAGGGGUUUCAUAUGCAUGCAUUGAUCUGUUCCCUCAUUCCCGCAUCAGGUACUGCUGCCGCGCUUUGGACUGAAGGCUGACCCCGACUACGACCCCUCCGGUAGGUACCGAAGCGCUCCGGCAGUGCAGCGACCAGGGUGUGUGUGUGUGUGUGUUUGUGUGUGUGUGUGUGUGUGUUGUGUGUGUGUGUGUGUGUUCACACAAAACAAACGGAACAAAGCCGCCAAACACGCGUGAGCAGUGUGUGUGUGUGUGUGUGUGUGUGUGAGUGUGAGUGUGUGUGCGUGCGUGCGUGGUAUUUGUAGAUACAAUAUGUGGCGGCCUGGCAAGUCGUGUCCGGGUCCAGAACCUCCACUCGUCCUACCUCCAUCUGCCUUGACAUCACUUCUCCAUUACUCGUAUCCCCCCUGUUCAAAACCCAGAGGACUGGCUGGACGACAACAAGGGCCUGCCGUACAUGGACUUCCCAAACUUCUUUGACGCCAUGUUUGAGCUGGCGGACAUGUGGGCCGAGGGUGAGCUGGGUGGGAGGGUGGGAGGGUGGGAGCUGACUGGAGGGACAGGGACAGAGGGAGUGUUGGGGGCUGGAUACGGUGGGUGGUGCGCUGGGCUUGAGGGGCAGGGUGCAAGUGGAGGAGGGACGAUGGUGACGGGCUGCGGCCGUGUCAUGAGGGCCCGCCACAUGACAGGCCUUAAUCUCGCGCGCUGCGUGCCCUCCUCAUUCCCCGACUCGCCGUACCUUGACCUGACAGGCACGGACGUGCGGGAGUACGUGGAGCUGCUGCUGGUGGGUGCCUGCGGGCUGGGGGUGGAACGGGAAGGUGGAGGAGACAUAGUAGUGGGUACGCAUUACGGUAGUUUGAAGGGGCGGGCCGACGUAGAUGAGGCGUAUAAGCCGCAUAUCACCUCACCGCGUCAAGCCCGCUCAUGCUUUUGCCGCAUCGUUGCCAUUCCCGCUUUGCCGUUGCAGACCACGCUGCAUGAUGUUCAGAAGAUGGACGCGGCGGAUGGUACCUUCAGCCGCCUGCUCAAGAAGUUUGGAUACAAGUCGGCCUUCAGGCCGGCCCGCGAAUCCCUCUUCCCACCGGAGCCGCCGCCGCCACCCCCGCCACCGCCGCUGGAACCCAAGCGUGCCCCGUCCCCUCAGUCGGAGCCUUCUCGUCCCGCGCGGACCAUUCCGCAGCACUCGCCCAUCCGUACCGACCACGUGACCAGCCGCGUGGCCUCACACAUCCGCUCCUUCAGGUCGUUCAGGGAGCCGCGAUCACAGCAGGGCAGCGGCAACUGGGAAGGAUGGGACGCCGCGGCAGGGGCAGCAGCUGAUGCCGACGAGGGCGGUGAGAAUGCACAGGCAGGGGCCCAGCAGCAGCACCCGGACGCGCACAUGUUCAGCUACGGCGGUGGCAACCAUGGCGGUGGUUGCGGCCCGCUGCCAGGGAGUCCCCCGCCCGACUACGGCGGUGUGGGCGGCAGCGGCUACGGCGCGGCUGGUGCAGGCGGGCGCUGGUCGCCGCAGCGGCGAGGCCCCUUCGUGAUGCCUGCCCCAGCCAAGGUCGAUUACUCGGGUGAGCUGGUGGAGGGUCAACUAUGUGGAUGCAUGCUGGCGUGUUCGCAUUACACAGGACGGGGGUUGAGUGUGCGGUGUUGCGAGAGGUUUUGAUGCAUUAAGGGAGCAAACCGGCUGAGAGCGCAAGCUCCAUCCUUGGCUCCAUCUGCCGUCUGCGGCCGGAUACAGGUCAGGGCGGCCGCGUACGCAAGGUAUGCCCCGUCGUGAGACGGGUGACAGGUGGUGCAUAUGGGUCACAGGUGGUGCAUAUGGGUCACCUCGUCGCUGCCGUCCGGCCCCAGCUCCUCAUGUCGUGAUCAGCACUGCACAUCAUUGAUGAUUUCAGGUAUUAUCUCUCCCUCGAGCUGCCCUAGGCCCCCACCCAAAGGCCCCCAGCUGCCAUACCCCAACCCAAAGGCGCGAGGCAGCGGAAUUCAGAUUCUGAGUCUCGCAUCAAAUGAGUCAACGGACAGGGGCAAUCCUGGGCACGAACGCAGCCACCAGCCACGGACAGGGGUGUUCCUGGGGGGCUUCGCCCCCCCCCCUGGAACGCUUCGCUGGGGGGGCUCAGCCCAAAAAAAGUGACCCACAUAAAACGUGCAGCGGUACGGAACACCGUCAACACACUGUGCAUUGCUGCAUGCCCAUUGUGCACCCAGGCAUUCGCUCGACUCUGGCUGAGCUCACUGCGCCACCGCGCCGCCCCGACACGGCCACACUGGGCGAGUGGCGGCGGCUGCGGCAGCAGCGGCAGCAGCAGCGGCUCAUGAGCGCCCGGCUGGGAGGCAAGGUGAGGGGAUGGCGGGUGGAGCAAGAAGUGUGAAUCGAGGAUGGUCGUGACUGUGUACAGCGGCACAAGGUCAAAGGAUGUGGACCUGGCAGAUGUAGAGACGAACCCAAAACCUCAUGCCCCUCUGAAAUUAACCCACUCGCAGGAGCAAGGCGUGGGUGGCAUCCCCCUGGCGCUGAGGCAGGCGGAGGUGGCGGACCCCGGGGCAGCCGGCAGCGGCGCCGUGGGCGGCCCCGGUCGUGGUCCCGGCCCCGUGAUCCAUGCGUACGAGGAGUACAUGCAUGACAUGGUGAGGUGGAGUCAAGCGUUGUGGUAGGAGUGGUAGGUCUUUUAGUGCAGGGGAUGUGGUGGCAGUUGAGAUGGGGGCCGUAGGCUGAAGCAGCUGCUGAAGCCAAUAACUUUUAGGUACUCAGCUGUAGCGCGCGUCAGCACCUCCUUCAUUACGAACGUUUCGCCGCCCUCUCCCUCUGCCCCCUGCCCGCUCCCGCCAGGCCGCCCGCUACCUGUCAACCCAGGAGGCACUGCUGGUGGCCACCAGUGCGGCGGCGGCGGCGGCGGCAGAGCAGGUGCUGGCGGCGGCGGGCUGGGCGCAGCAGGCGCAGCAGGAGGACUUUGAUGUCAGCAGGUGAGCCGCCAGGAUAACACAACACACAGGUCGCAUGUGCAGCUAUUGUGUCCUGGGCGCUACUGCGUCCAGCUCGUCGUGGUGCAGGACCUGCAACCUACUAAGCGCGCUCUUCCCAUGCCGCCACUCCUUUCAUUUCCCCCAGUGUCUAUCCACAACGGCUAUGGGAUUCGGCUGACCUGGACUCAGCGGCCGCCGCGGCCGCAGCCUCCCAACAGGCUGUGAGCAGCCCCCGCCUGCCCGCCCUGUCCGCACCCGGCUCCGGGCAGGUGUGCUGGCCACCCAGGGCACCAGGCGCCGGCACCAUCGGCAGCUCGGGUGCCAGCCCUCAGGCCUCCCCCCGCGCUUCCGGGACCGUUCCCUCUGCCGGUACCACUGCAGCAGCCUCCGAUGCGGAUGCGGCGGCGAACCAGGCCACUGCCGUGUCUGACCCGGCCCUCGUCGCCUCCCCCAGCGGCUCCGCCGGCCUCACCUCCCGCGCCUCCCGCCUGGGCUCCCGCGCCCUGCUGUCCUGCGGCGCCUCCUCCCACUCCUUGCCCGCCACUCCGCGCGGCGGCGUAUCCAUCACCGUCGGGCCCGACGCCACAGCGGCGGGUGGCGCCGUCGGCACAGCCACACUGAUGCCGCCUCCGGCUCUGCCUCAGCUAUGGGGGCCGCCGCUGGACCCGCACGCCACGGUCGCUGCCAUCACAGGCCGGCCCGUGCCAGCCACCGAAGCAGCUGCGGCGGCAGCGGGGGCGAAUGGAGGAGCGGCUGCGGCGGCUGCGGCUCUGGCGGCGGAGGGCAGCAUUGCGAGUCUGGCGCCCAGCAGUCUGGCGCCAGGCGGCGCUAGUGGGGCGUCCACAGCCCGCUCACUGCUCAGUCGCCGCGGGCCACCUAAAGCCGAAGGCGAGCCGGCAGCAACCGCGCUCAUAGCACCUGCUGGUGGGGAGACCGAGGUGGAAAUGGCUGCCAAGAUGUCGGCCUUUGCGCCUCAGAUGGCGGGCAGCGACACGGGGGGCUUGGGCGUGGGCCACAUGGGUGUGGACGCCGCGGCCACCGCCGCACAGGCUGAGGUGGUGGUGGCGUUCGCGCAGGCAGCAUACCGCCUGGCAGACCCCAACGUCCACUCCCUGCUGCUGCCCUCUCGGGUGCAGCCCUCAGGUACGGGGCCGCACUUCCCUGUGCACACCGCUGGUGCACGCGGCUACAGCGGCCGCCGCAGCCCGCAGCGCGCCAUGUCGCCGCCCGGGAGCGCCGGUGUGGGCGCUGGCCGCCCCGGGAUCGGCCGGUCCUGCUGCGGGUCCAGCCGUGUGGGCCGGGCUGCAGCGUCAGAGGGCCGCGAGCGCUUCGCCGCCUACCUACAGGCGCCGGGGGCGGCGGCGGCAUCCGCGGCAGCAGCUGCCCGCACCGGCGGCAGUGCGGCGCGCGGCGAGGCAGGCUCAGGUGCUGACGGCUGGGGCUGGGCGCCCGGGUGCGACAGCGGCGGCCCUGACGCACCAACCGCUGCGGCCGCUGGUGAGGCUUGCUGGAGCUGCGGCGGAGUGGAGGUCGGGGCCAGGGGGCCCCAGCCGACUGACGGCUCCCUGUUCGGCGGCCCCGUCCACCUGCACCGCGCCGCCACCGCUGACCCUGGGUCGCUGUCUCGCCGCCCCGGCUCCAGCCCCACCCCGGACUACUGGUUCCGGCCGGGCCACGUGGCCGCCUCCUCCUCUGAGCGCGCCGCCACCACUGCUGCCGCGCUGCUGGGUGGCGCUGUCAGCCGCCGCCUGUGCUCCUUGGUGUCGACCUCGGCCAGCUGCGACCUGGGCAGUGCGGGGGCUGGGGCAGGUGGGGGACUGCCUGUGGGCCGCACUGCCUCGGGCUCCAACUGGUUCAGCGCGGUGCCGCAGCUGCGGCUGCCGGGCGCCAGCGGCGGCAGCGGCGCGGCCGGCAUUGCCACCGCGCCCUGCUCGCCGGGUCCAGGUGUGGCUUCAGGCCCGCUGCUGUCGCCGCACAGUGCCACCGCACCCAGCAACGCCAGUGGCUCUCCGGCGGCGCUGUCGCCCAGUGGCGCUGCUGGGACCGGAGCCGUGGCUGGGUGGGGCAGUCCCUCCGCCGCCGCCCAUCGCCGCCCAGGCAUGCUGGGCUCGCGCGCAGGCGGGGGCGGGGGGGUGUGGGGCUACGGAGGCGGACGUAUGUCAGCUCGCGGCGGCGGCACGGCUGCCAACGGCAGCGGCGGCGGUGUGGUGAUGCCACACGGCUCCAUGAGCAACAAGCUGGUGAGAGGUAGUACCGUAAUGCUGUAGCAGUGAGAAUCGCGAGGAGCACGUCUAGGGCUUGCUCAAGCUUGUACAACACAGUGUGCAUUUUCUUCCGCCUCGCACCCCCUCCCUGCACUGCUGGUCGCAGCGCACCUUCUACACCACGGCGCCCAGCGGUGUGGUGACGCCGGACGGGCAUGUCAUGAUGCCGCCUGCCGGGUACACGGCUGUAGCAGGGGCAGCUGCGGAGGGGGCUGCGGUUGAGGACGGCGCUGAAGGCGGCGCCGAAAGCCAGGACGCCGCAGCGGCGCAGGGGCAUGGAACCGCGUCGGUGGACCGGCGGCAUCGCGGCGGGUCGGUACCGCCAAUGGCCGCAGCAGUGGCAGCCGCGGACGCCGGUAUCAACCGAGGUGCACUCCGGUCGCCACUGACCAUUCGCUCCUCCGAGCCUGUGGGAUUUUCUGACGCAGUCACUGCAGCGCGCCUCAAUGUGAGUGCCUCUAUGUUGAGGUAGAUGAAGUGGCACAGCAGCAACACUGAACAAGGAAAGGACUCUGUGGAGUAUGCCGCCGCAUGGGUCCAGCAGCGUCAUCCUUACAACGCGCUUCCAAACCCCUCCACUCCCCAUCACCGCCUGUCGCUCCCCACCAGGUGGCCAUCAUGGCGGACGAGCUGGCGGCGCGGCUGGCGGAUCAGCGCACGGUGGAGCGGCAGCAGCGCCUGGCGGUGGGCCUCAGCGCCGUCGGUGGCAUGAGGCAGGGCCCCGCAGCAGGGGCGGCGCGUGAGGCGGUGCAGAGCUCGUUUGGCGCCUUCAUGGCGGCGCGGGAGGCGACAGCAGCGGGGGCGGCAGACCCGGCUGAGGCCGGCGACGCAUAUGGUGAGGGUUAUGCAGCAGAGUAGGCAGGGGCUGUGGCAUGGCCUUACAAGUGGAUGUCUGUGGCUCGGACUGUGGAUUAAGCAUGUGCAUCGUUUAGGACUGCAGCCAGGCCCCAUGUGGCCCAGGGACUCCAACUGCGGAUGAGGCAGCGAACAGCGUACAAUGUGUGGCAGCACGAGGCUAGGCAAGCGGAGGCGGAGGCGCGUGAGUGCUUUGUGGUGACUCUUGGACAUUAGGAGUACCGACUGAUGCAUUUGAUGACAUCUGAAGCAUUUAUGGCUUGGUCGGUGCGCCAUGCAAAGGACAGCUUGCUGUCGAUCAAUCGUGGCUGUAGACCGCAGUGGUUGCCGGAGCAGGACUAUGUCAAUGGUGCUCAACGUGGCUGACGUCAUGGUGUCGCGGCCCACAUGAGGUCACUGUGGCCAAGAAUGCGGUGAUCACUUGGGCUGGCGGCAACUGGGGCUGAGCGGGCUGAGCGGCUUGGAUUGGAAGUGUGUCCUGGACGGGAUAGUGCAACCCACGAGCAUGUGUGCACCAAUACCUGUGCUUGUCUGCACUUCGGACUGAAGACGACACUCGUCAUACGGACGACUGAGGGGCCGUCAAGACUUGGUGAAGGCGGUUGCUUUGAAUUGUUUGCUGGGGGCCCUGGUGCGUAGAUACAUUGCAGUGGACUGUGUCGAGGGUUGAGUCUUCGGCCCAUGGGCCAUGGCAGCAUGUGCUUCUGUGCCCCAUCGGGCAGUACUAGGUCUUGCUUGUACUUGACGCGAUAGCAUCUCCAUCGUCCAUCCUUCAACUGUGUACGUGUGCCUGCUGGGGAAUGCAGGGAUAUGCGUUGUUUGCUUGCAGGUUUGGGACAGGUUUCGACGUAUGAGGAUCCCGCAUUUGCAUCACCGUGAUCGUGUGCAUGGACAGCUGCCGUUACAGCUUCAGGCUCGCUUGCCGCAGAUGUGGUGUAUGGUUGGAGGAGGGUGGAGAUGGAGUACUGAUCCCAGUUGCGCCCCAGACAUGCCAGCUGCAGACGUCUAACUUGCGAGGUGGAGGGUUUCAUGAAUUCAUGGCCCACACGGCAAAACAAGUGUGCUUGUGCAUAACCGUAUCAUGCGUGCGUAUUAUGGCCAAUUGCCAGCAGUUGCCUGGCAUGGUUGUGAGGUGCUGACAUCCUGGUGGCUCCUUGCGCGGCCUGGUGCUCCAGUCGGUGGCUUGGAAGCUGUAAGCCUGUAAGAAGCUCUUCGGGCACAGCCAGGGGCAAUGCAGGGCACUGCUGACUAUGGUGCAUUGACCUCAAAGCAUAGCCAGGUGACGAUUGCCUGGUCCGCCCAUCUUGCUAUGAAACUGUUAACAAGCGCCGCAAACACACCUCUCUCGCGUUAACGUUACAGCGAUCGCAGUAUCCUCAUCCAUCGUCAACGUACUUACAUCGUACAGUUUACACUAGCCGUGAUUGAAGCCCCAUGGUCAAGUCUGCUGGACAAGCACACAGAAGACCCGGCAGUAAUUCCACUCGGGGUUGACAUGCUAGUAUACCGCGUCGGUAGUCAAAUCAAUGCGCCAGCAAGGCAGCCAGUGGCUAGCUUGCCGGAGUAAUGUCAUCAUGUCAUGGUAUGGGCAUGUUGAAAUGUCCUGCCGCGGCUGCCGGUUACCCAUACCUGUCUGCACCCUACGUCCGCUCGAGACCAUAUCCGCAGGCAGCAGGACAUAAACAUGCAUCCAAACAUCACGUCUGGUGAGAUGUGUAAUAUGGGUUUACGUGUAAAGUAUGCCUCCUGACCCCACCUCGCCACACCGGCUUCUCAGCCUCCACCCUCGUAAGCCUCUCACCAUGCUGCACUCGCUCACACGCUCUCUCAAACAGACUCACUCCACCUCUUACCACAUCCCCACCAAUGCGCUACCUCCACAAUCCCCAUCCACCCUUACGCGCUCCAGCACAUGCACCAGCCGUACGACUCACAGGGGGUGGACCUCAGGCUGCCGUCCCCCCACCGCAGCCCCGUGCAGGGCGAGGUGGCAGCCGGCCCGUCCGCCACGUCCGGGUUGCGCGGCACGUAGGUGGCCGCCGCCUUGCCCAGCCAGGCGCCCACCACCAGCCCCUUGGCGAGGGCGUCUGGGCGCGGCGGUAUCUGCUGCAGCAGCACCGCCCAGGCCGCGGUGUACUCGGUGCCCUGCAGGAGGUAGCCGGGCGCGGCACUGGGGCCUAGGCUCCAGCGCGGGCCCAGCGCCGCGCAUGAGGUCUCGCAGGUGGACUCAAUGCCAGCCUGCCGCAGCAGCAGCACCCGCCGGCCGCCGGCGCCCAGCUGCGCCGCCACUGCAUUGCCGAUGAACACGGCCUGCCCGGGAGGCGAGGGCGGCGGCGGCGGCCGGGGCGGCGGCGGCGGACUGAACACGACUUCUCCCUCUGGCGGGGGCGCGUCCUCCGCGGCCGCCAGCCGUCGCUGGCCUCCCACGACAACAGCACCCGCAAUGAGCACGCCAGAGGCCUCCCCAGUCACCAAUGCCUCCUCCUGCUGCUGCUCCUCCUGCUGCUGCAGCCUGCGGCGGCCCAGCACCGCAGUGGCCGCCAGCCGCGCCGCCAGCACGGAGGGGUCUGCGGGCACCAGGCUGGCCAGGUACGAGUCCAGGCCGCGUAUGCCGGUGGGUGCUCCGGAUGCCGCAGUGAAGCACAGCGCCAGGCGGUACACCCCCACGCCGUUGCCAGCCGCCUCAAUGUCGGCGGCGUUGGGCGGCAGCAGCACUGCGGCACGGCCCUCAGUCCAGUUGAUGGCACGCGGCAGGCCCAGCGGCCAGGGCCCGGGGCCAAACACGGCAGGGUCGAAGUUGACCGGCGGCGGCGGUGAGGGCGGCGGGGGCGGCGGCAGGGAGGUGCCGGGCGGACGGAGGCGGGCGCCCCAGCCGGCUGGCACCGUGUAGGGAAGUGCCACGGUGUCGCUGGGGCCGGGGGUGGUCUUGAUCUGUGUGUGUGGGGGGGGGGGGGAGCGGGUCAGGAGGCCCCGGGAACAAGGACGAAAUUGGGUUAUCUUCUGCACGGUCUUAGCAAUGCCCAUGGCUGGCUUGCCUCUACCCGCGCAGCUGUCAAUGCACAUGCACCGCCCGUGGUUGCACCCCCACACGUGUCCCCCGCGGCCCCUGCCCACCCUGAACGUGGAGGUGAGGAUGGAGCCGUCGUCUGUAAUGGCGGCGGUGAUGCCCGGAGACAGCCCGCCCGCAGCAGCAGCCGGGAAGAUCAGACUCAGCCGGUCUGUGAGCGUGUCGUCAGAAGCAGGUUGGCGGUUGCAAUCACUGCACAAGAUACAGGGCGCUGAUCGAGAUACACCGCAGGUCAGCGCCAAUGGCCACGGGGGCUCAGCCCACUGCCCGCUCCCUGUCCGGCGCCCCCCUCCGCCUGCACCGCGGCGCCACCGCUGACCCCGGUUCUCUGUCUCGCCGCCCCGGCUGGGGAGGCGGUGCGGAGUUUGUUCGGCGCGUUCAUGGCGGCGCGGGAGGCGGCAGCAGCGGGGCGGCAGAUUCGGCUGAGGCCGGCGACGCAUAUGGUGAGGGUUAUGCAGUAGAGUAGUGUGGCCUCACAAAGUGGCUCGGACUGUGGAUUAAGCACUUGCAUCGUUUAGGACUGCAGCCAGGCCCCAUGUGGGCCUUGGUCAGCUUGGAGUUCACCCACGGGUGUGUUGCAUUGCUGCGGCGUUAGGCAAAUCUAAACUCCAAUCCCAUUGUGAAGUGGGGCACUAAAGAGGACCGCGAAAAGUUUGCUCAGGCCAGCUUAGGCGAGUGGUGACUACCCGUACACACCCCACAGUCCGCUCAGGACAAGUUCCGGGCACCCAAAGCCAUACCGCACAUCAGCGCACGCACCUGCCCCGGCGGCCUCCAGCAUGAUAUGUACGGAGCCGCGUGUGCCGCUGCCGUACACAGCGGCGCAGAAGCUGGCGGGCGGCGGCGUGCUGGCGGCAGCGGAGGCGGCGGUGGCCAGGUUGGCUGGGCUCCAGUGCAGCCGCAUGCUCUCACCCAGAGCCAUGCUGCAGGCAUAGCCAGCCGACGAGGCGUCACAGGAGGCGGGGCUGGGCGGCGGCGAGGGGGGCGGCGGCGGUCUCGGCGGAGGGCUGGGCGGCGGUGGGUGCGGCGGCGAGCGGACCUUGGGCAGACGUGGGCGGGGCGGCGGCGGCGACGGCGACUGCUUGCGAGUGUUGGGUGGACGGGGGUGCGGCGGCGGUGGCGACGGCUGGGGUGGUGGUGAGGGCGGCGGCGACUUGAACUGCAUACACAGGGCAAGGGGGCAAGACAGGCACCCGUUAGAUGACUACCAGAUGUGACAGGGCUGUCAAGUGCCGCUAGCGGCACCCGGCGGGCGUAUAGCAGUGAGUGCACUUGGGCGCAAGCUGCUGCGCUCAAGGCCCAUGCCGGACGAGGUACGUACCGACGCCGGGCGCGUGGGGGGAGGUGGCGGUGAUGGCGGCGGUGGGGAUGGUGGCGGCGGCUGUAUCCUGGGCGGCGGCGGCGGCUUGGGUGAUGGCGGCGGCGGCGGCUUUUUCUUCUUGGGUGGUUUGGGUGACGGCGGCGAUGGAGGGGGUGGCCGUGGCGGCGGAGGCGGUGAUACCUUCACCGGCACGCCCUUGGGCAGUGGUGGAGGCGGGGGUGGGGCGGGGGGCGGUGGGGAGGGGGGUGGCGGGGACUUCGUUGCUGCCCCCGGCUCGUACACGCACACGAACAUGAGUGUCUGGCUGCAGCUGGCCGUGAGACUGCUGUCUGUGAGCACGAGGGCCAUGGGGUCCAUACGCGCAGCGCCGCACCCGCCCUUGCCAGGACCGCCGCCACCCGAGGCCCACUCGUUCUGCGGGUGUAGGCGGCAGUGUGAGCAGGUAUCAGUGAAAGUGUGAGGUGUAAGGGGCAUGAUGGGGACAUGCGGCAGCUACAUCGGAGGUUGAGGGCCCCACGAACGUGUCAAUCCGUGUCAAAUAGAGCAAAACGUCACACUUCCUGGACGCCAAGCGACAUAGCACCACCAGGGGCUCUUCGUACAAACGUUUCGGCGUGCGUGGUACAUGCGCGAGGACACGGUUGGACAACUGUCCAUGCACAUGUUACAGCCCCCGCCGUAUGAACCCUCUCCCCGAUCCGCGUCAUACCCGUGUGGGGCCAGGUCCAUGCCUGGAAUCUGGGCGCCCAGCGCCAGUUGACAGUCACCCGUGCCUUCCCCUCCGAAAUCCUAUGCCUCGCCGCCCUCUCCACGGCAACACUGCAUCCUCGACCACCACAGCCCCGCCCGACGGCCCGCUUCCACCCCCGGCCCCGCACGCAGGCCCAGCCGUAACUCACCCAGGGCUUGUCGCCAUAGCUGCCGAAUCCGAACAUGGACUGGCUGAGGCUGUCCCACAGCACCCGCGCCUCGCCCGCCACAAUCAGGCCGCUGAUGUCGCCCCAGUCCGACACCGAGGCCAGGCGGGCGCCGCCCAGCUGGUCGCAGGCGGACUGGGCGGUGGCAAAGGUGACACGGGUGCCAAAUACCGUGUAGGUGCGGGUGCCGAUGGUUUGGGACACGCCUGGAGGUAAAGAGAAAAGGAGGGCGUGAGAGUGUGGAGGCCUCAAUCAGGGUUACGUGGUUGCGACUUCGGGGGCGUGAAGGCUGGUCGGGACAGAGGAGGACUGGCACCAAUCAGUACAGUUACCUCCUGCACGGGGGGGGGGCGGAGCUCGGGGCCCUCACCUCCAGACACGCUGGUGGUCGGGGUGGGGGUCAUGGGCGGCGGCGGCGGCGGCCGCCGGGGUGGCGGCGGCAGCAAGGUGCGUGGCGGCGGCGGUGGCGACUUGGUCGCAGUGGCUGUGCCGGCCGCGUACACGCCCGUGGGCCCGAUGCACAUGUAGAACAGCGUCUGGGCGCAUAUGGCGUUGCUGGUGGUCCGGGCCAGUGUCAUUGUGGAGGUGUCCAGCGACACGGCGCCGCCGCAGGUGGAGCCGCUGGCACUACCCGCGUCCGUCCACACGUGCCAGGGCCUGUGCGCGUGUGAGCAUGGGGUGGGUGGGAUAGGGCGGGCAGCCGCGAUAAGAGGAUGGCCUGACAGCCCACAAAUCCCGUUGGGUGUGGCCGUUUCCUUCUGCUGACGGCUUUUCUUCCCCUGCGCAGUCUCCUCCCCUUGGGCUCCGCCUCCUCACCGCAUCACCUGUCCUCCCCUCCUCUUCUGUUCCCACCUCCUCCCCUCCUCCCCCGCCGUCGCCUCACCUGCCGCCGUUGUCCCCAAAGUCGUACAGCGACACCAUCACAUCCACCAUCAGCCCACCCAGGGGGCCGCCCAGCAUGUCCCCCAGCGCCGCCCCCCACUCGGCGGUGCUGGCCAGCCGCGUGCCCGACCCCCGGGCCGCACAGGCCGCCUCCGCCUCCUGUCGCGACACCCGCACCGCCACGUACGCCAGGUCCUGGCCGGUGCGCCAGCUGGCAAUGGAGCCUGCAGAGGUAGAGGGAGAGCGGCGUGACGCGCAGGGUUCGUAGCCGCACGAUCCGUGGCAGGGAUGGAAACCGUACACUGGCUUUUGUUCCUGAUCCUGCGCUGGAUCGUUGGUGAACACAUGCCCCCAACACACGCCCGCACCAACCAAAGUCGGCUCCAACACCCCAAAAGCAUCCCUGUAGUUGAUCACCCACCUGGCAUCGCUGGAAUGACCGCCCCUUGCGCGCCCCCGCGCACAGGCGGCGGCGGCGGCGGCGAGCUGGCCGCCGCGUCCCGCACCGCACCGCCGUCCCCACCGCUGCUGCCGCCGCUGCUACUGCCGCACAGGGUGCUGCUGCAGGCUGCGUCGAGCGGCAGGGAGGCUGAGGCUCCCAGCAGCAGGGUGGGGGCGGAGGGCGCCGCGGAGGUGAUCUGGAAGGUGACCGAGGACCCUGCGGGCGGAAGGGGAUGCACAGUGUCGGUGCUCGAUAGGGAUAAAGAUUGUGACGAUUGCAGUUGAUGAGAGCGUUGCUUCAUGAAUGUUGUUGCCCUAGGCGAUGCAGCUCCGAGGCCUGCACCCUCUACCCCGUUCGACGUUCUGCCUGCUCAACAACCAUUGUAGCCAAACACUAUCUCCUCUGCGCCUCCUGCGCCUCCUGCCCCUCUCCCCUCACAACUGUAUGGCCUAGAUCCUUGUCCUUGCCGAACUCACUGCCCUCCCUCCCUCCCGCACCUCCCUCCCGCACCUCCCUCCCGCACCUCCCGCACCUCCCUCCCGCACCUCCCUCCCGCACCUCCCUCCCGCACCCCGCGUCACACUCACCCGCUGUGCUGCAGGGCACGCGGUACAAUAGGCUGUAGCUGGGGGCCACACCUGCGUCCGUGCCGGUGGCCCCGCCCAGUGCCACACGGUUGGGGCUGCGCCACAAGAGGGUAAGAGACCAUUGCAGGGUCGGGCCCGUGUCAGCAGUGUGCCGGUUUAAUUGGGUAGGCCGGACAAGGGCAUGCAGGGAGUGGAACGGAUGGGGAGGGGCGCUUGCUGCCUCAUGCGAUGGCCUACCGCCUGUUCGGUGGAGCCCAACCCAGUCAGCCCUCCCUCCCCAACUCACCACAGGGGUGUGACGCUGCCGCUGAUGCCGCCCUCGGUCGCUGUGAGCAGCGCCCGGCGGGCAGCUGGGAACGCCACCUGUGACAGAGGUGGAGGCACGCGGGGACAGCAUAGUCAGGGGCAAGGCACAAUCCGGGGCAUCAAGGACUGCAAAUGCUCCUGCACCCUUCACCGCUGUUGGCCCUGCAUGCAUGCAUUACUCUGUCCCCAUUGCUUGAUGCAAUGUGGCGCCACUGCCCAAACCCACCCACCACGGAUCUGCCCUCACCUGCAACGUGUACAGCUUGCCCCGGCAAAGCGACACCGCCACCGGGCUGUUGCUGUCGGUGCCGGUUAGGACCGUGAAGACAGUUGCCCUGCGGGUUGAGAGGUUGUGAUGCAGGUUAGCAAGUCAGCCGCGCGCGUUGAACGGUUGAGUCGGCCAUAGAUGCCUACUCGACAUCCCUUCCUCACACACUGGGCAGCCGGUCAGCAACGGCGAAGGAGCAUAAUAUGUGUAACGCUACUAUACUUACAAGUCAGAUACCACGGCAUUGUGCACAGUAGUCCCUGUCGCGGCCUUCACCAGCGUGUCAGGGUGGUGAGUACAGGGUCGCCCAUUCAACGCGUAAUUCGGGAGGCUAUUUGCGAGACUCAAGAUGCUUAAUAAAACUAUCACUACUCUAAAUAAUGGUCUAAAGAAUGCGCCUUGAGAGCAGCGCUGCGUUACCACGUCGACCGAUAACGCGCGGCGCCCUAAACGCGCCAUAGCCUGUUUGUCACAAGUUCAUAUGGAUAAGUAUGGUAGUAAAAGCAAUUUCAUUCCUUGCCAGCCCUGUGCACGGCCAGUUCGCCGAAUAUGGGUCCGAAACUUGGAUAGCAAGAAUUGCACCGUUGUGAGAAUGUAUUGGUUUGACUAUAUGCACAGCUGAACCCUGUAUGAUAAAUGUAAGGAAAUGGCGCUCCGAGCAGGAAUUAUGUAUCCCGCCCACCAUUCCCUGAAGCCCACUCGCACCUGCCGAAAUGCUAAGAAAUUGCUCACUGCAGCUGCACUGUGUAUAGAAGAUUUGGCAUAGCACUUAUGGUCGUCUGUCAGUUGCAGGGUACCACCAACGGCUCCUCCUCCUCCUCCUUCUUCUCCUCCUUCUCCUCCUUCUCCUUCUUCUCCUUCUUCUCCUUCUUCUCCUGUGUUUGUGGCAGUAUCUAUAAACAGUGGUCCAAAUCAAAGGCUGUUUAAGUGUCGCAGCGAUGCCCCAUGCCCCAUGCAACAUGCACCGAACAAGCCCGUAUGGAAUCGGGGGGCAAUCGGGCUCCAUGCAAGCCGGUACGACCGGCAUGAAGGGUCAAGCAGACGGAGGAGCUCCAGCCCGCAGAGUCCCGCAAGGAAGUGGACACGACCCUUGCGCUGUUGCCCCUGUUCGCCAUGUUUUUGCCGUGCCCCAGAGUGAGCUAGUUUACAGUUUAGUUACUAGCGGCUGCAACGCUGCCGCAGUGGUGCACGCAUGGCCCCCACUCCUCCUCUGCCCGGCUCUGCCCCUACUAGAAACGUAUGCCGCCGCCGUUGCGCCUCACUGGUCCUUAGCAGACGACAAGCUGCCAUAAUGUCACCUUCUUGAGCCCAAAGCACGCUAAACCAACCGUGCAUGCGACUGACGCGGCGGUCUGCCUCGUUUCCCGCUAAUGCCUGCCGUUCCUGAGUCAAAACAGUCAACGUAAACUUUGUCUGAAACUUUGUUGUAUACAUCCACGUCAAAUAACAGCUCAACCCAACCCUUCGUGCACCGGAUAUGUACUGCCCAUUGAGGCCCACUGCGUUGCACCAGCCAAACGGACGUCUUGUACAGGGUCCAUUCCACACAAUUCCACACCUACCAUCCAUUUCACACUGAGCAGUUUACGACGUUCAACACCGUUACCUUGUCUUACAUAGCGCGAUACUUACAUAAGAGUCAAACUUUGGAAACACAGACCAGCUACCGACGGCCGGUAGAGCCCGGCCGUGCCAUCUGUCCCCUUGACCACCCUCCGCCUCGCCUUCACACAACACACUUACCCGUGUGCGCCACACGAGCCGCACAUCGCCUGCAGGGCGCUGCCCCUGGUACAGCCAGGUCCGCCGGACUGCCUCCACCGUACAUCAAGCGUGUCCAGGGAUGAGUAGCUUGCGCUGGUCGGCUGGGAUGGCGCGUGGCAGCGUCUUGGCGGGUGAGCCGGUCGGAGGCUGCGCAGCAGACAGGGGCAGGGUAGGAUGGGGAAGACGGGAAUGUCGUGGUUGGCGGUCUGAGGGCCUGACCGGAAUUGUCAAUGGGGGCUUAUUUGCAGAUCCUGUCCCCGGCACAGAGGACGCCGCCACCCGCCACACCUCCCUCACCUCCACGGCCGUCAUCGCCGCGCCGCGCUGCGUGCCUGCACUGCCCCCGGCGGCUGCGGUCUGGGGUGCCGCUGCCGCCGCGGCCUUGGCCCGGGCCAUGAUGGCUGACACCUGCUUGGCGGCGGCCCGCAGCCGGUCCAUGUGGAAGCGCUCACCCACGUGCUUGUUGCCUUGGGGGAGGGAAAGGAAGGAGGCGGCCCAGGUGGCACGCCUUGAGUUCAGUGCACAUCGAUACCCACGGCACAUCAUACAGCUAAUGUACCAGUGUCUUUAAUCCAAAUGUUCUCAUCUUGCCAUACUCCUCUCCCGCUUUCUCCACGUGUCCUCCACUGGGCCCAGUCCCACGCACCCAGUCGCGCCAGGUUGACCAGGUCCAGCAUGGAGGAGGCGUGGCUGGAGGCGGGGUCGGCUGGGGGUGGCGAGAAUGGGGGUGCGUGGGUAGGAAUGAGAGUUACGCUGAAUGAAACAGCGGGCGAGGAGUUCAAUGCCAUGGGCACACGACAGGCCAUACAACAAGACACGACAUGUGUCAAACCCCAGCCCAGUCCGGCCCCGCUUCCUCCUCGCACUCACCCUCCUCGCACAGUGCCGCCAUGACGCCGCCGCAGCCGGCCGCCAGGCACUCCAGCACCGUGGCGUGUGCCAGGCCGUACCCGGGCGCACUGCCCACGUGCACCGCCAGCAGGCCCUCCGACCAGCCCGCCGCGUCCAUCACGCCCCGCACAGCCGCGACACAGGGCGCAGCCUCAAACGGGAACUGGCCUGCAGGUGCCGGACGCAAUCAAAGCAGGGGGCCGCGUAAAGCGCAAGAGCUCGCACCACAUUGCUGAUGGUCCCGUCCGACCCUACAACCCGCAGUCGUCCAACUCAGAUGAGUCGAAUCCCUCGCCCCCUCAGGUCUGCACGUGCGCCGCUCUGCCCGCUCACCCGCUGCCGGCUGGUUGAUGAGCAGGCCGCGGGGCCGCACCGCCGGGUCCAGGCGGGCCAGGGCCUCCACCAGCGUCAGGAGCCGGGCGGGCGCGGACUGGGAAGAGGUAGCGGAGGCGGGGCAGCAGAGGCGGGGCACAGGGUUCCGUCGGAGGGGAGCAAGAGCGGUGAGCAUCAACCUCAGUCGCAGUAUGGGGCGCAAAGGGGAACACCCGAUGCAACUCCCGUACCCCCGCCCUUUCCCCCACGCCCCCGGCAACCUGCAUGGCCGCAGAGAAGUCUCUCAGGUGCACGUAGCUGGCGGGCUGUGUCGGGCGGCCCGCGUACAGGUUGCUGGCCACCCAGCGGCAGCGGCUCUCCACCAGCGCACACAGAUCCUCAAUGUGGUACCUGGGGAGGUGGGGGUGGGGCGGGGGUACGGGAGUGGCGCAGAGUGGCGCAAUGGGACAGCGAGUGGGUGAGCACGGGCAGCCACUUCUGGGUUCUGACAGGCACAGGCGGGCAAGCCACCCUAGCCGCUGCUCACUUCCAGUGGGGCCGUAUAACCUCCAACCCGCACCCCUGACGUCUGGAGUCCUGCCCCGCCGGCGCUUGGGGCCUGCCCUUCCCCCCAAUGCCCCCCGACCUCUCACUUGUCCCAAUUGAUGUACGGCGCCGCCACGUCCACCUCCAGGAUGGCGUUUUGGAUGCCGUACUGUGUUCGUGUGAUCGCAGAGGGGUGGGAAACGUGUCCAAGGGUGGAUGCAACACUGUUCCUGGUGUAGCCGUGCGCAACCACGUCUUGGUGCACAAUGCCCUGUACAUGCGCCUACGUGUCCUCGCGUGCCUCUUGCCCGUGCCCCUGCUCCCCCCUACCCCCCAAGGCUCCCGCCCCCCACUCCCCCGGCCCACCUGGAUCAUCUUGGCCAGCCCAAACGGCAGGUCCUGGCCGGGCAGGUCAGACCCGUGCGCGUCAUACAGCUCACUGAAGGCGAAGCAGUGCUCGUCAAUCAGCUUGGAUGAGUGCAGCGCCUGGGGCCGGGGCCGAGGAAGCGCGGGGAUGGGAGGGAAGAUGGGGUUCGGAGCAGCGAGAGGAUGGAAGGAGGAUUAGAGGACGCGCAGGCCGCCAUUCCAGCGCUGGCGGCCCCCCAUAUCACCUGCAGAAACGGCAGGUCUGGUGUGCGCUCCUUCACAAACGCGGCCAGAACGACGUUCUGCAGGCCUGUGGAAGCGGUCGCAAGGGCCAAGUAGGUCGAGGUGGCUGUAAAAGCGCACGGCGCAACCACGCGGUUGACCUUCUAGAAGUAGAUGGUGCCUUAUUGCAACACCAGAGCCUCGCAUCAGCUACAACAUGGUACAUAUUAUUUAAAUAACAAGCUCGUACCGCACGCGCGCGUGCACGACAAGGCCUCCAGCUUGUCCUCAAGGGUCUCGGAGCCGGAAGCGAGGCACUCGACCAGGGUGUUAUCGAGCACGAAUGGUUUGAGUCCAGUAAGGAGCGCCUCGCGAGCCUGGAACGAAAAAGACGCCAGAAAGAGGCGGUUGGUUGGGGGUUCCGACAACUCGCUGGGCCGCUGUACCCUUCGCUGCCACUGCUACCGUAAUGCUCGCAGUUUCAAUCACGUUUGGAUUGCGACACGCAAGGGCCCGAGCGCGCAGGCGCUUAGUGAAACGCAUGCAAGCUUUGUCGGUCACCUUGCGAGCCUCCUCUGCUUGCUUGAGCCGCGCAACAUGCUGGUCAAUGAUAGAAAGGGUCACCGAGCUGCCGCGCUGCUGGCCAGGGUCGCCCCCGCCAUCGGCGCUGGGGCCACGGCCAGUUGUUCGCAAAGAGCCAAUCUUUUGCAACACGCCUUUCAUGUUUGUUAGUGAGUGUUUAUGGAAAUGUUUGGGUGUAAAUGCAGGCGCACAGGGCACCGGUUGGGAGGCACCAGUUCCGAUACAUCGAACGUGACGUGGCGACGUACGGAAGGCCGCGACACCAGUUCGCCCGCAACGCAGCAAGAGGGUCAGCACAAAACGUGUUGAAGCCUUUGUAAGUACGGCAGCAGACACCCGGCAACGGGCGGCUCAGAACCCGCCCCGCCAGCGGCAGCCGUUGGCGCGACAGGGCGUGCGACCUGGCACAGGUAGGGGUGGCACCCCCCCCCUCAAGACCUGGCACGGCCCUGGGCACAGCUAUAAUACCCCGAUGGUUCAUCCACGAGGUCUGCGUUCCACAAUACUUCCUUUAUCCUUAACCGUAUGUGUGCAACCCUGUCUUUGUCUAAGUGACUGGCGCAUUACUGCUGCUAUUCCCUAUUGUAGAAAAAUAGGCAGCAGGUAAAACUCGGCCGGAGCGAGAAGCGACCUCGCGCGUCCAUGGACUUUAAAUGACUGGCGACUGUGGCGACUCGUUGCGAGGUAAAGGGCCCGAGGCGCCCGAGGGCCUAAAUAAGUGGCGUGCUGCGCAGGAACAAACUCGGGGCCUGCCGGUGCCCAAGCGCAACAUGGCUUCCGUGCUCGAGAAGAUGCGCAACAUACAUCCCCAAGGUGGUCACCAUGAUUCUCGCACUGGAGCACGGCGCCACCAUCCUGACGCCGCAUCUGCAGGUGUGGUGCAAGUUAGUCACUAGGGGGUCAGUCGGAACAGGGUCAGUACGCUAUUAUCCUAAUCAGCAUCCGUACACACUUGCCUGCUGACCAGGGUUUCGUGGUGGCGGCCAAGGGUACCAUUCCAUCCCUGCUGGAGGUGCCCAUCCUCCAAACUGCUGGUCUCAUGGACAUCGACACGGCCCCGGUGAGUGUGCGAGUAAGGGGACAUGCAUGCUCCACUAGUGUCGCGCCCCUGGACCCCUAGAUUGGAACCCUUGGAUGCGCGCAGGGGGACGAUCUGUGGCCGAACGGGGUGUCCUGUCCCGGCACCAGUUCAUCGUGUGUGCACGCCGCCAAGCUGACGGUGGUCAGCCUGCUGCGCGAGGUGCUAUACGCGCUCAAGGCGCUUUGCGUCCCGGAGCGGCCGGGGCAGUGGUCGCGGGCCAACCUGGAGUUGGUGCACGCAGCACUUGGGUGUGGGCCGUGGGGCUCGAGGACAGCCUGAUCCAGCGCCUGGCCACGCUGGCGGUCAUCCUCGGCGAUGUCUGCCUGGGGGAUGCCUGUGACGAUGCCUGCCAUCUUGCGAAGUACAUGUUCCCGCAUGUGCUGUUCUGUGAGACCGUGCGGGCCGUGCACGACGUGGUGCGCAGCAGCACCGAAGUCACGCUGGCGUACUUGGCGUCUGCCGGCCCGGGUGCGGCAGGUGAGCGCCAACCAGCCGCGCAACCGGCCGCUUGUUUGCGUCACCUCCGUCCACUUCAGCCGCACGUUCCUGCACGUGGGUGAGAUUGGCGCGCCGCCGCCCUGUGAUCGCGGCCGCAGGUGCCCUUGGAGUGGGCAGCGCGGGCAGCGGCGCCUUCCGCGCCGGGAUGCUGGCGGCGGGCAAGGACCCGAGCGACCCCGCCGCGGUGGCGGCCGCCAAGGGUGAGCGGUGCAAGUUGUCGUGCCGGCCACUCGCGCCACUGGCCAAAUCGCGCUUAGUGUUUUGCCUGUUCGCGUUCCUGCACGUGGGUGAGAUUGGCGCGCCGCCGCCCUGCAAAUGUAGGUAGCAGCGCGGGCAGCGGCGCCUUCCGCGCCGGGAUGCUGGCGGCGGGCAAGGACCCGAGCGACCCCGCCGCGGUGGCGGCCGCCAAGGGUGAGCGGUGCAAGUUGUCGUGCCGGCCACUCGCGCUACUGGCCAAAUCGCGCUUAGUGUUUUGCCUGUUGGCGUUCCUGCACGUGGGUGAGAUUGGCGCGCCGCCGCCCUGCAAAUGUAGGUAGCAGCGCGGGCAGCGGCGCCUUCCGCGCCGGGAUGCUGGCGGCGGGCAAGGACCCGAGCGACCCCGCCGCGGUGGCGGCCGCCAAGGCUGGGCGGGUCCAUGACGGCAGGCCCCAUCUGGGCGGCUUCUACUUGACCUGCAAUGUGAAGAGCUGCAAUCACCGGCAGUUCACCAGUGCCAGUUCACCAGUGCCUGUUCACCAGUGCCAGCCCGCCCCCAACCUCCACUGCUGCGUUGUCCGCUACAGAACAGCCGCCGACCUGGGCACGUAGGUUGGGGUCAGCGAAUUAAUCCGUCAAGUCGGCUUCCUCGCCUAUCCCCAACCUGGUGAGUUGCGGGUGAGCCAACCGCUAUGUCCGCUCCAACCGCGGCUACCCAUCCCCGCCACCUGCUGCUGAGCUUAACCUGGCACAAUGCUCAUCCAAUGCCCUGUGCUUCAAGCACCUUAGAGGCCACGCCCCUUCCUUUCUUCGACGAUGACGCUCACGGCGACUUCCUCAAGGCGUGCUUGAGCGCCUCCUCCUUGGACAUGGAGUACGUCUUCUUCACACCGCACUUCUCACAUGUGCGUGGGAACAUCACCUUGUCCACGUGCCCAUCACCAACACGGUUCUGCAGGUGGGCUGGGCGGGGGAGGGGAGGGCAUUGAAGAUGCCACACACGGCCUAACUUUGCACGAUGCCGUUGUAGGAGGUGCUCAUCAACCGCGAAGUGGUUGCUUGGGAGGCCGCGGCUGCUGCAGAGCGGGAUAACGGUGGGGCGGCAGAAGUGCACAAGGCGGUGCAGAGCGCUGUGGAGAGUGGUUGGCGAGCAUUUGCGAACUCAGCCGCGUCGUUUGAACCGUGGCUGCAGCGGCAGGGGCUGGAGCCAGGGCAUGACCCUUGGCUGGUCGCCGGGUUCCAAACCCAGCGCAAUGCAUGGGACGGCUGGGAGUUUGCCGGCUUCCUGCGCACGGACGGUGCCGCUGCAUGUGUGGCCCUGAAGAAGGCUACUGCGGCUGGCGGCAGCGGGACGGACAGCAGCCCGUCGCGCGGGCGCGCGGGCAGCCGAGCGCGCGGGCGUGGCGGCACGCGGGCGCACAACAGCCCGUCGCGCGGGCGCGCGGCCAGCCGAGCGCGCGGGCGUGGCGGCGGGCGGGCGCACGGCAGCGGAGGGAGUGGCAAUGAAGACGAUGACCAGCGUGGGCCCCGUGGCGGGCCGGGCCGGGCACCCGGGGACAACCCAGUGCCGGGCGUGGUCGCGGCUGGCGAUCCGCUGGCUGUCUUUGAGCAGGCAACCCUUAGCCCCAUGCGCAUCGUGGGCGUUGAUCCCAGCGUAGGCAACUACCUGGUGGCCUGUGUCGGGUCAAUGCCAGGCUUCUCACCGCACAGCUACAGUGGCCGGCCACGAGCCGCGCACGUCUGGCGUGGCCCAGAUGGCCCUCCUGGGCCUGCCCAGCCCCCACUGCAGCGACGGCGGUGACGGCAACAGCGGCGAUGGCAGCAGCAGCAGCGGCGGCAGCGGCGACAGCAGCGACGGCGUCGGCGGGGGCAGAAACGGAGGUGGCGGCGCAAGGGUGGCGGGGCACGCGCCAGCACACGCAUCAGCGUGCCGCAACAGAACGGCGCCGCCAGCAGCGCGCCUGCUUUACCCGGCUGUCUGGCGCUGGCUACCGCCACUACACAGGCCAGACAGGCCGUCGGCUGUGGCUGCAGGCACGGCUAAAGGAGCAGCCGGCGCUCAAGCGCUGUCAGGCGGGGAUACCCAGCGCGCGGGUGGCGUCGGCAGCUGACCAUGAGCUGCGAAUACGCUACCUCUACUCUGGAGGUGGCGUGGACGCGGCGGCGGCUGCGGGGUCUGCGCCUGCGCCGGUGCAACAGUACGGGCUGUGGCACCUACUCCGUUUCUACCGGCAGUGGGGCCAGCGGCGGUGGCGCCUGACUGUCCAUGUGCGGACGCAGAAGGUGGGGGUUGAGGGGAGGGGACCAGCAGAUGCACCCACACCAACUGCAUUGCGCUGACGCUACACCUAUGCCACGGGUACAGGUGCUGGAGCACAAGACGCAGCAGCUGGCUGGUGGAAGGCCCAAGGAGGAGGUCAUUGUUGGCUGGGGCAACGCCAACACUGGCUAUGGCGGUUGCAUCAGCAGGUCGGGGCGGGGCCCAAACCGGGCACUGCUCCGCCUGCUGGUGGACAAGUACGCGCACCUGGUGGUGUACGUGGACGAGUUCUACACAUCGCAGGCAAGAUGAGAGCAGACGGGUUGGAAUGAGUAGACAGGUGGUCGGGUGGACAGGAUGGGGCUCGUGUACUGGUAGCCGGGUAGCCAGCAAGGUUCACACUGUACUCCUGCCCCCUCCCUCCCCAGGUGUGUGCGAAGUGCGGGCGGCGCUUACUCGGCGACGGGCAGCGCUGCCUGCAGGCGGUCGUGCCAUGGGGGGCUUACGUGCUCACCAAGUCCAAGUGUGCAACCACUGCGGGACGGUGUGGGUGAGUCCACUUUGUGGGCGGGCGGCUGGCUGGGCGAUGGAUGGGUGGCUGGGUGGCGGCUCAGUGGGGCUCAGUGGGUGAUGGCUGGCUGGGUGACGGCUCAGUGGGGCUCAGUGGGGCUCAGUCGUGGGCUCAGUGGGGCUCAGUGGGUGAUGGCUGGGUGACGGCUGGGUGACGGCUCAGUCGUGGGAUCAGUGGGAAUCACUCACUCUACCCUCCCGACGGUGCAGGGACGUGACGUCAACUCCACAACCAACAUCCGGCACGCGCUGGUGGAGAUGCUGCUGGGGCACAAGCGACCUGCAUCGCUGCAGACUGGCGGCGGCGGCGGCGGUGGCAGCGGCGGCGGCGGCGGCGGCAGCAGCGGGGGUGCGUGCGCACAUCUUGGUAGCGGAGGGGGCGGGAAAGGCCACGUGGAGGAGGCGAGCGCAGCGCCGCCCAAGAAGCGGCGCAAGCGCGCAGGCUGAGGAGCCGGCUGGUGUCCAGGUAGCGGUCCGCGGUGGGGCUGGCAGGGCAUGCGUAGCGGCAUGCGUAGCGGCAUGACGAGUACGGUAGUGCGGCUGUUGACAAGUGUGCUGUGUCUGGCUGCGGUUGGCUCUGCUGGACAUCGCGAUUGCUAGGCCCUAGGUGUGGCUAUGUGCCUGUGGAAACCGACCCCGGCUAUGUCCGGGCGAUGAGGUUGUUCGGCCUCAGAGAGUGGAGGGGCUCAGCCCCUUUUCCCGUGACCGGGGAUCACUUGUCUAAGUGACUGGCGCAUUGCGCACGCGCGCGCGUAUUGCGUGCCCCAUAUGUUACAUUGUUAACAAAGAACGCGCGGCUGGCGCCCGAUGGCGCAGCAGGAUGCAGCCGGUCGGCGGCCGUCUCGACCAGCAGCAGUAGCAGCCCACAGAACUGAGGGCAGGCGGUUGUGGUGUUUGCGAUGGUCUCCAGGUUGCUUGAGCCUGGGCCCCCGCGGCCGCCUUGGAUACGUGCCGCCGCCCCCGUGGCGGCCUGUCGCCGUCGCGUCAUCCCAACAGGAGUAUUCGUUGCGGGAGUGCGCGGCGGCGGCUUCCGAACCCCUUCACAGACCUCUGGAGAUGACGAUACCGGCGAUACCGGCCGAUCCAGGGGCUUCAGUGUGUCGAGUAGCGUGUGCCUUGCUUGCAGUACCCCUAGCCAGCGCAUGCACCCCACUAACGCACCUGCCCCCACCCGGCCCGCGGCCGCCGCCCCGUGCGGCUGCCGGUUUCAUGACGGGUGUGGGGAACCGCAAUGCGGUCCGCACCCGUCACCUGCUUGCUGUGUUGCGUCCCUUGCCUCGUUGUUUGCGUUUGUUUGCGUCCCUUGCCGCGCUUUGGAGGCCUCGGUUGUGUUUGCUGCAUGUUGCUUCCUCGUGUCGCACGGCAUGCAUCGCACGCGCCCAUGCCGCAUUGCGACCGGGUCGAGCCAUACUUCCUCGGCCACCCGGCGCACUUGCUCAUUUAACCGCAUCCAUCACUUCUCUGUACCUAGUGUUCUUCGUUUAGCCACCCCACGCAGCCCGCAGCCACAGCCCGCAGCCCGGCUUACGCACCAUGUCCUCGCGGCUGUUUGGGGGUUGACGUUGAUUGCCUCACGCCUAGCGCCAUAGCUUCCACGCUGCUGUGCAUUACGCCUCCUGUCCCUCCCUCCCUCCCAUACAUGUCGUACUGAACACCGGUGGCGCUGGUGUUCUCCAGGUUGGUUUCGGGCGCAUCCUUUCUGGUAGUCCCAACGCCAGCCCGCCCGCCGUCGCCCAGCCCAGCCAUCCCAAUACAGCAACCACCUUCCGUCAGCCAGCCAUGGGCCCGACCGUCCACGGCGUUUACUGUCGGUUACGAGGUAACAUGUGAAUUCGCAACUUGCGCUACUGACUGCCUGCUCUCGUGCCACCUGCAAGCCCACUCCGCCUUCCGCUCAGGUCUACGUACGCAUUAGUUCCGCAACGCACGUCGAUGAUUGAGGCCAUGGCCUUCUCCAGGCUACUCCAAUACCCGCCAUGUUCUUCUGGAUCUGCGGGUGGGAGGAGAGUACGGCAUGCGCAGUAUGGUGAUGGCGAUGAGGGGUAGUUUACCAGCCGAGAAUCCGGUCACGCAUGUCAGGGAGGGGUAGUUUCGACUGGGAAAGGCCCCAUGUUUUAAAACGGAACCAGCCAAGCCAGCGCUGAAGUUUGUACUAGCAUGUCUCUACACACCUACAGCCACCAGCUGACUGCCCUAGACGCGAAGGAGGUGAAGGCGUGGCUUCAGGACGCCAGCUGGAAGGGCCGCGCCAAGCAACAAGAACAAUCCGCGGCGUGCCGGCGGGCGACAGCGGGCCGUUUGCGGCCAUCCGCAAGGCUAUCAACAAGGCGGAGAGUAAGAAGCCAACAUGUCCAAGCCCAAGACCGCCGCCCACAAGGCCAAGAUUUCGCCGAUCAACAUUGAAGGACAAGCCCAAGACCGCCGCGACCAAGGCCAAGAGUUUGGCGACAUUGAAGGGCAACAACAACGCGAAGAAGAAGGGGACCUAGUUACUUUUGUGAGAAUGAGGACGAGGAUGACGGGUCAUGGUGGUGUUGCGGGGAUCGUGUUUCGUCACGCGGCAUGUGGGUGGGACUGCAAGGUUUCGUCUUCGACGCUCCAAAUGCCCCUCUGAACGCUCCACCCAACAGAACACGUACUAGCACACAUUAGCAUGCACAUACUCAAGCAUUUGCAGAACGUUUAGCCUCUGGAAAGCGGCUUGUCGGUCACAAAGGCGUGCCGACCCCCCAGAGAUGACAGGACACUUUUUUCGCCUAACUUUAUCGCCGCGUGUCAACAGCUGUCGGGGCAGAUCGCGUGCCGUAGAGGGGGCUCUUCGAUCCCAGCAGUGCCCAGCGCCGCCGUAUGGGGACGUCGGUAGCUGUUUUACUCACGGGAGGGGCUUCGCUGUUUGGUCUAGGCGGGUUGGAUAACAGGAGCAGGGGCUCGUACAGAGCCGGAUGGGUGGCGUGCGUGCAGGCGCACAGCCGUGGCAAAGGCUGUCUCACUCAACCUUGCCGCCCAGGGUAAUCAGAGAUUAGAGAGAUAAGGUCGGGCGGGUUGCCCAAGUAGAGUCACCGCCGCCGGCGGUAGCUGGGGUUACCCUUCGCGUGCGGGGCACGCGGCGGGUGGUAGAGACGGGAAGGGAGAAGAGAGGGGAGACAGGAAAGCAAGCAGGUCCCGCAAGCCGGCACGGCGUGUCGGGGACUUGGUCACACGCAGGUCAGGUAGACCAGGUGCAGGGAUAAGCAAAACUUCUUCAGACCAGAGGUGUCGCAGUCGACCUGCAAUCUGGGGCAGGGGAGGCGAACACCCCAAGGGAAAGGGGGGGGAGAGCCCCCGACGACCCAACCCGCAGACAAGGCGUGCGUGCCCGGUCCAAUGCCGUCCGCCCCACUGCCUAGGCCCAGGCCCUGUACUAUCUCACGCUAUCUUACGCCCGUCUCUGUCUCCCUCACUCCCUGCUACUGCCACUAACCGAACGGGCUCAGGCCCAACUACCGAACCGGACCCUGCUCUGGCUCGCUCCCAGCUCGCCCUGCUAUCAGCUGCUGUACCUAAUCGCUGCCAGACACUACACGUAUGCAACCUGGCGCAGAGGCUCUGCUGGCGUACGCUAUGCGGGUUGGGGUACUCUUGACCCUAGUGUGGGCAGGGGCCUUGGCUAUCACUGACGGGCUGCGGGUAACGGCUCAGGACUUACGGGGAUAGGUCGGGGGCAACAGGCACAGCGGUGUGGGGUAGGGGAGAGAUAGGGAGAGGGGAGAGUCUGGGGCUCGGAUGAACCGGAGUAGGUGAGAGAUAGUAAGGGGAGGGGGAAGGGGGCUUCGAACGGGUACUUGGUUGUGCCGGGAGGCACCCUGUGGGGGAGGGGAAAGGCUAGCCUAGACUUGCGCGAGCGGGCGACUUCGCGCCGAGCACAAGGGGCCGCGAUACAAGGGAUCGUUCUUUGUCCAACUUGUAUUACAAUACUAGAGACUCGUAAUUAAAGAGUCUAUUUAAGAGUGACUCUCGAGUAGUUGGUGUGAGGAGUUGGGAGGAGGAGAGUGACUGAACUACCCCAACUCGCUCGCUUAUAUAUUCCCGUCGGCCCCUGCAUUGGCCGGAUGGGACUCGUACAGGUCGUACAGGCCUAGGCUCCAAAUCGCAAGUGCUAAGCAACUGCGCCGAGGGGCCCAAGUGCUACCAACUUCGCUAAGGGCCCAUCGGGUCCCUCACACAUACACUGCGCCAACACUUGCAUCGCUGCGCGCAACUAAUACCCUUUCAGCUCCCAAACACAGCCGCGCUUCACCUGCGGCGUUCUCCUAGGCAUCCGUAAAGUUCUCAGUCGUCUAGGUCCAGCAUUAAGCUUACCACCUUGCACACGCUAACCGGUCACGGGACCGUUGUCAACUUAAACUAUCAUCCACUACAAGUCAACCAUACUAAGCCUGCGCGUCGCUUGCGCUCCUCGCGGCCCUUCGCCGCUCCGACAGCUUAAGGCAGCCAGUCCUAGUCUUGCACCGCAGCCUUGCUCGAUUAGUACUGUAAUAUCUUCUCCACCCGAUUUACUGGCAAGCUCCGGCGGCCCUGCUUGCUCCGCUAUUUUGCUAGAUCCAAAGUCGAUCCACUUGCUCGGUGCUCUCGCUAUCCGCGUCCUGCCGCUACGACCCUCUGGUGCUGCGGCUCAUGCGCUCAUUGUUUAUAUGACUAUGCGCCAAACACGUCCGUGCAAAAUCCGUCCCGUCAACGUGCAGCGGCGCCCCGUGCAAAGCACCCACAGGCUGCAUGUCCGUCCACAUCUGCAUGUCCGUCCACAUCGGCAGCGUAGAGUUCCACUCGAGCGUCUCUCACUGGUGUCAUGGAGACUAUGUGAACUGAUGCUUAUGUGUAACGGCCAAGGCUUGGUGUGGGUCCUGACGACAACGCUGCCGCCGGCCAUAAAAGCUGGCGACCGCGUCCCAUUGAUCCCGGGAUGCUUCACAUGAUCCCGGGAGAAAGUCGACCAAUCUCUUCCGGCGCACAACACCGAACAUUGUAUGACUAGCGCAAUCGGUCGUUGGUUGCCGUGUAGGCUGCCUGGCUUGGGUUACAGGUUUGUGGCGUUG
This 82233-nucleotide long non-coding RNA is filed under the name Chlamydomonas reinhardtii. Its description in RNAcentral is "long non-coding RNA (CREI_LNC000918)". Lineage: Eukaryota; Viridiplantae; Chlorophyta; Chlorophyceae; Chlamydomonadales; Chlamydomonadaceae. The record is from RNAcentral.